GACUAGCCGAUGAAGUGAUCAAAACAAACCCAACAUUAAAACAACUGCAUUUAAGCAAUAAUCAACUCAGUGGUUCUUUUCCUCAAUCACUUGUGAAUCUCACAAACCUUAAAACCCUUGGACUUUCAUCAAAUAACAUCACCAUUGAUGAGGGAAUGAAUAUCACCUUUCUUAGCCCAUCAUCUUUAUUCUUAUCAUCUUGUCAACUGAAGGAUUUUCCACACUUCUUGAGAAAUGUAAAGACACUUGUGUACUUGGAUAUUUCUAACAAUAUGAUUCGUGGUCAAAUUUCUGACUGGUUUAGCGGCAUGAGGUGGGACAACUUGUGGUACCUAAAUAUUUCACAUAAUCUUUUGACAGGUUACCUACCACAAUUGCAUUUCCAUAAUCUAGGGUAUCUUGAUCUGAAAUUUAACUCCCUUCUGGGUCCACUACCCUCAUCCAUUUGUAACAUGAGUUCGCUUAUCUUAUUAGAUUUAUCACGCAACAACUUCAGUAACUACAGUUUCGUAUGAGGAUUCAUUGAGUUUGGUAAUCAAAGGGCAGGAUAUUGAGCUACAAAGAAUCAACACAAUUAUGACAACCAUAGAUCUCUCAAGCAAUCAUUUUGAAGGUGUGAUUCCGAAAACACUAAAGGAUCUCAGCUCACUUUGGCUACUCAAUUUAUCCCAUAACAAUCUCAUAGGUCAUAUUCCAAUGGAACUAGGGCAAUUGAAUACGCUUGAAGCUUUAGAUCUCUCUUGGAAUUGGCUCACUGGAAAUAUUCUGCAGGAACUGACAAGAAUGAACUUUCUGGCCUUCUUAAACGUCUCUCAAAAUCAUCUUGUCGGACCAAUUCCUCACGGUCUACAGUUCAACACAUUCGAAAAUUAUUCGUAUGGCGGAAACCUUGAUUUAUGUGGUCUUCCUUUAUCAAAGCAAUGUGGAACGAGUGAUUCAUCACAUGUUCCUCAACCAUUGGAGUCCGCAGAAGAAGGCGAGUCAUAUUUUUUUAGUGGAUUUUCUUGGGAAUUAGUAGUAAUAGGCUACAGUUUUGGACUUGUCGUUGGAACUGUCAUGUGGAGCCUCAUGUUUAAAUAUCGUAAGUCAAAGUGGUUUGUGGAAUUUUUUGAUGGACUCAUGCCUCACAAAAGAAGAAGGCCAAAGAAGAGAGCUCAGAGACGAAGGACUUAAUGGAAGCUUGAGAGGGCUAAAUUGUCUUUGUUUGAUUUUGUGGACUAGUGAACUGUUCUGUUUUUGUCUUUUUUUAAUUUUCUAUUUGUUGUUUGUAUAUGUUAGAAACAUAAUUAUAUGUGUGUUAUUGUAGUAUUCAAUUUAUGUUAGUUUGUUUCUGUUUCAAAUUGACAGAAGUGAUCUACACAGCAACUCUAGCUAUGUUACUUAGAUUUUUCAAAAAUGUCAACGGGUACGUGUUGGAUUCUUCAAAAGUUGUGUAUUUAUUAAGGAACCAACAUGAGCAGUGGCGGAUCCAGGAUUUUCAUUAAGGGGUUCGAAAAAAAGAGAGCAGUGCUUAAGAUUUGAGGUUUGAACCCCUCAACCACUAAACUAACCUCUAAUCUUAUAUUCAGGAGGUUCAAAAUCAAUAUAUAAACAUAAAAAUUCUUUAAAAUACCUUAAAUAUACAACAUAAUUUUUUGCCGAGGGAGUUGGUCCACCCCUGAACAUGGGUGCGACAUCAUCAUAUUUUAGGAGAGUCCGAGCAACAUAGCUCAUUAAUACAACAAAAUUGGAUAAAGCAGUGCAGUAAGCAUAUAGAGUUUGGUUCAUGAUUGAAAUUAGUUGAUAUUAGAAAGUUUAUAUUUGUGAAAAUUGAUGUAGAAGAAUGCUCAAAACUACAGAAGUGGCUAAUAAUUUUGUGGUACUUCAUCUUUCUAGUCAUAAAACAUCCUUAAAAUGUUCUCUAACUCAGUUUCAACUUCUGCAAUUUUUAUUUUGGUAGAUUUUUACAUAUAUUUAUACUUCAUGACGAGUGUUAUGUCUCACGUGAUCCAACAACUAAUUCAUACUGCUUGAUUAUGAAUGAGGAAAUUUUUUUGUUUUUGGGAAAAAUGCUCUCUGGAAUCGGCUCACUGGAAAGAUUCCAAGGGAACUGACAAGACUAAAAUUCCUGGCAGUCUAAAAACUCUGUCUGAAUGUUCUUUUUAGACCGAUUGCAUGCUCCUCGUCCAUUGGAGUCCGAAGAAGAAGAAGAAGAAGAGAGUCGUAUUUUGCUAGUUGUGGAUUAAUUGUUGUAACUGUCAUGUGGCACCUCAUGUUUAAAGAUGGUAAGCUGAACAUGUGAUCCUUCAAUACAAUUAGUCUCUCAGUUUUUUUUGCUUGAGUAUCAUUUUUUUUAUCUUCUUAAUUUGAUCACUAUACCUUUAUCUUGAGUCGAGGGUCUACAGAAACAACAUCUCCACUACUUUGGUUAUUUUCCAUCUCUUCAUAUUUGAACUGUAUCAUAUAGAUGGAAUUUCCCUCAUUAACUUAAUGUUAAAAAUCUUUUGGAAAACAGCACAAGAGACAACUAAUCGGAAAUUUCUCUACAGGUGGAAGGAUCUUCACCAAGUUAUUCAGAACAUACUAAUUAAGCAGGAAAACACAGAUCAAACAAAAUUUUGUAUAAAAUUCCACAAGGAGGAAAUGAAGGACUUAAAUCAUGUCUUUAAUUAUUGUUCAUUUUUUUCCUCACUUGACUUAGUCAAGCAAUAGUUUCUACCAUUUGAAAUUUCUAAGAAGUUCUGCAGAAAUUUUUUCUACAUAAUGGGACCAAUUUCACAUUAUCUUGCGUAACACACUGCAGAGAUAGUUAAUGACUUUGAAAUGAACACAACAUCAAGAGAAAAAUAGGACAUAGAGAGUAUUAUUUUGUUAAGUCUUCUCCGUCCUCUAAAAAGUCUUGUGGAACACUACAAAAUAUGAGUAUCAAGUUGUUAGAAGUGAGUAGUACUCAUCUUGUAAUUCAAUUGUUCAUCAGUCCCGAUUCAUCAUAAUCUUUUUUUUUCCUCUAGUCUUUGUGGAAAUUGGCUUAAAGUCUUACAAGUCAUCGUCCGCUAGUUACAAUACUGUAUCACUUUUUUCCUUAGUUGGAAUGGAAUAUUGAUGGAUUUUCCCUUAUUUACUUAAUGUGAAAAUUAUUGUGUACCUAACAAGUUUGAAAAUAGCAGAAGAGACAACUAAUCACUCACUCGGAUUGACCUUUUCUGAUUGUAUAGAUUUCAUGGAAAAAUUGCACCAAAAUUUAUUUAAUCCUCAAUUGACUUGGUCAUGCAACAGUUUCUCUUUGAAAAGUAUUGUGGAAAACAGAAGAGAUGUUGAUGGAAAGUUGGACAAGGUUGACAUAAAACAGGAGUUCAAAUAACUAUAAAAUAUGUAUGGAUUUUGAAAAAACAGAACAUUCUGUAAUAUGCUGUAAACAAAAAGUAAUUCCCGUGACCAGUUCAGUUCAAGGUUGGUCACGGGAGGGUUGAAUAAAAAUCACUUGAAAGUUGUUAAGGGGGUAUUUAAAUGUUCAUGUAGUUUAAGUCCUAAAGUAAAUUUGGCUAUCAAGUUUGAGGGUGAUUUUAGGAUUUUUCUCAAAAGUUAGCAGUCAAAUUGAAAAAAGUGUUCAAAUUGGGAAAAUAUGUAAAAAUUGUUAUUUUCCAUCUCUUCCUAUUUGAACUGUAUCAUAUAGAUGGAAUUUCCCUCAUUAACUUAAUGUGAAAAGUCUUCAGCACAAGAGACAACUAAUCGGAAAUUUCUCAUAAAAUUUCUCUGCAGGUGGAAUGAUCUUCACCAAGUUAUUCAAAACAUACUAAGCAAGCAGGAAAUGAAGGACUUAAAUCAUGUCUUUAAUUAUUGUUCAGUUUUUUCCUCACUUGACUUAGUCAAGCAAUAGUUUCUACCAUUUGAAAUUUCUAAGAAGUUCUGCAGAAAUUUUUUCUACAUAAUAGGACCAAUUUCACAUCAUCUUGUGUAACACACACUAUAGAGAUAGUUAAUGACUUCGAAAUGAACACAACAUCUAGAGAAAAUGAGGACAUAUGGAGUAUUAUUUUGUUAAGUCUUCUCCGUCCUCUAACAAGUCUUGUGGAACACUACAAAAUAUGAGUAACAAGUUGUUAGAAGUGACUAGUACUCAUUUUUGAUUCAAUUGUUCAUCAGUCCCGAUUCAUCAUAAUCUUUUCCCCCCCUCUAGUCUUUGAGGAAAUUAUCUUAAAGGCUUACAAGUCAUCGUCUGCUAGUUACAGUACCGUAUCCCUUUUUUCCUUAGGUGGAAUGGAAUAUUGAUGGAUUGUCCCUUAUUAACUUAAUGUGAAAAUUAUUGUGUACCUAACAAGUUUGAAAAUAGCAGAAGAGACAACUAAUCACUGACUCGGAAUAUUGACCUUUUAUGAUUGUAUAAAUUCCAUGGAAAAAUUGCAUAAAAAAUUAUUGCAUUCUUUGUGGAAAUUGUCUUAUUAAAGACUUUGGCUUCAAAGAACAAAAUAAAAUUCCACACGGUAUUAUUGUUUUGUUGUUACAUACUCUUAAGUUGAUGUCUUUAAUUAUUCUUCAUUUUUUUUCCUCACUUCAUGACUUAGUCAAGCAAUAGUUUCUCUCAUUGGAAAUUUUUCACAACUUAUGCAGAAAUAUUUUCUACUGUGAGUGUUACGUAACUUGACCAAUUUCACAUCAUCUUGCGUAACACACACCGUAGAGAUAGUCGAUCGAUGAUCUCGAAAUGAACAACAACAUCUAGGGAAAAUGAUGUGUACCAAGUCGUUAGAAGUGACUAGUACUCAUUCAUGGACCAUAUGUGACUGAAAAUUGACUUUACACUUGGGACAACAUUUUUUGCAACCACAAAUUAUUACCCCAUUUAUUUAAUUAUCUAUGUGUUUCUUUUCUUUCGUUAAUUUAUACCUCAAUAGUCCCAUGCAUAGACAAGUCAACAACGUUACUUUAUGAAAUAUUGUUUAGUUAAUUGUUUACUUUAUUUAAUGUGGAGGUUGUUGUAAUAAUUAAGAAAUGGAAUAGUGUUUAGUUACUUAUAGCAUCCUUUCCUACAUGGCUACUUAUUUUAUUGACUUAUUUAUAUCUUGGCAAUUAUCAUGAAUUUUGAUAAUGCAUGUUUUCAUUGAACACGGGUGCAACUUAGAAAGUAGUAUAUAUAUGUGUGGAUAAUACUGAUUGAUUUGUAAGAAGAACACAUCCAUCCUGUUAUUUGCUGAAAACAAACAAACAAAAAAUGGUCAUGAGUCUGUUUUUCUUUCAUUCAUUUCUGUAUUUUGUGUUGCUAAUAAGUAUGUUUUUCUUCUUCCUUUGAUCAUCAUCUUUGCUCUCCCACCGAAGCUUCUGCUUUGCUUCAGUUUAAGCAAUCUUUUGGAGUUGAUUACAACUACUCCAAAUGUUUUACUUCUUUCCCAAAAAGAAAGUCUUGGAAUGAGAGUAGGGAUUGCUGCAGUUGGGAUGGAGUCACUUGUGACUUAUUAAACGGUCAUGUUAUCGGGUUAGACCUUAGUUGUAGUCUGCUUAGUGGAAGUAUUCAUCCCAAUAGCACCCUCUUCCAACUUCAUCAUCUCCAGGCACUAAACCUUGCUUACAAUCACUUCAGCUAUUCUUCAAUCCCACAUAACAUUGGCCGAUUGACAAAUUUGGUUUCGCUUGAUCUUUCUUCUGAUUUUUAUGGACUACAACUUGAUGAGAGAACAUUUGAAACAAUGCUUCAAAACUUGACAAAUCUGGAAGUACUAUCUCUCUUUCUUGUCAACAUCUCAUCUCCGAUGCCUGUGAAUAUUUCUUCCUCUUUAAGGUACCUGGAUCUUCGUUAUACUAAUCUGCGAGGUGUUCUAACAGAGAGCUUUUUCCUUCUGCCAAACAGCUUGGAAACGCUCAAACUGAGUGGGAAUGAUCUUCUCAAAGGAGUUUUUCCAAAGAUCCACCGGAGCAACACUCUGUUAAUGGAGUUGGAUAUUUCAUACACAGGCAUCUCUGGUGAGCUGCCUCAUUCAAUUGGCACCUUUAGUUCAUUGAAAUACUUAAACCUCCAAGGAUGCCAAUUCUCUGGUUCCAUUCCUAAUUCCAUUGACAACCUAACCCAAAUUACGGAGUUGAUUUUAUCUUAUAAUCAUUUCACUGGACAUAUUCCUUCCACAAUCUCUAAAUUGAAGUACCUCACAAAUUUACAUCUUUCUGACAACUCCUUUUCAGGUGAAAUUCCUGAUGUUUUUUCUAAUCUCAAAGAGCUACGUUAUUUAGAUCUUUUUAAUAACAGCUUCAUCGGUCCAUUUCCUGCUUCAAUUUUAAGUUUGACACAUCUUGAAUACUUAGGAUUGUCGAGUAAUUCCCUAUCUGGCCCACUGCCUAGCAAAGCAAGCAUGCUUCAAAAGCUAUCCGAACUGCAUUUGUCUUACAACUCGCUGAAUGGUACCAUACCAUCUUGGGUGUUUAACCUCCCUUUGCUAUCUUCGUCGUGGCUCAAUCAUAAUCAAUUUAGUGGACUAGCCGAUGAGAUCAAAACAAACCCAACAUUAGAAUUCCUGUAUUUAAAUAAUAAUCAACUCAGCGGUUCUUUUCCUCAAUCACUUGUGAAUCUCACAAACCUUUCUACCCUUGACCUUUCAUCAAAUAACAUCACUAUUGAUGAGGGAAUGAAUAUCACCUUUCCUAGCCUUGAAAUUUUGCAGUUAUCAUCUUGUGAACUGAAGGAUUUUCCACACUUGUUGAGAAAUGUAAAGACACUUCAGGUCUUGGAUAUUUCUAACAAUAAGAUUUGUGGUCAAAUCCCUAACUGGUUUAGCGGCAUGAGGAUGGGACUCGUUGCAGCUAUUAAACCUUUCUCAUAAUUCAUUAACAGGCCACCUACCACAAUUUCAUUUCCAUAAUCUAGUGUCUCUUGAUCUGAAAUUUAACUCCCUUCAGGGUCCACUACCUUCAUCCAUUUGUAACAUGAGCAGACUUUUCUUAUUAGAUUUAUCACAUAACUACUUCAGUGACUCAGUUGCACAUUGCUUGGGAAGCAUGGCUAGUCUAACCGUGCUAGACUUGAGAAGGAACAAUUUCAUAGGGAAUCUUCCCCCAUUAUGUGCACAGGGCACUUCAUUGAGUACCAUUGUCGUAAAUGGUAAUCGAUUUGAAGGACCUGUACCUGUGUCGUUGCUCAAGUGUAAUGUUCUAGAAGUCCUUGAUGUGAGGAACAAUGCUAUAAAUGACACAUUUCCAGCUUGGCUCGGAACUCUUCAAGAGCUGCAGGUCCUUAUAUUAACGUCGAACAAGUUCCAUGGACCUAUAAGUACUUGUCAGACUAAGCUUUGCUUUCCCAACUUGCAAAUUUUUUAUCUUUCUCGUAAUGAUUUCAGUGGCUCACUUCCUGCAAAAGUUUUUGGAAACUUCAAGGCAAUGAUCAAAUUAGAUGACGAAGACACAAGAGAGAUCAAGUACAUGGAAUCUAAGUCAAAUUUGUCAUUUGACACAUCUUAUGAGGAUUCAGUGAGUUUGGUAAUCAAAGGGCACGAUAUUGAGCUACAAAGAAUCAGCACAAUUACGACAACCAUAGAUCUCUCAAGCAACCAUUUUGAAGGUGUCAUUCCGGAAACACUAAAGGAUCUCAGCGCACUUUGGCUACUCAAUUUAUCCCACAACAAUCUCAUAGGUCAUAUUCCAAUGGAAUUGGGGCAAUUGAAUACACUUGAAGCUUUAGAUCUCUCCUGGAAUCGGCUCACUGGAAAGAUUCCGCAGGAAUUGACAAGAAUAAACUUUCUAGCAGUCUUAAACCUCUCCCAAAAUCAUCUCGUCGGACCAAUUCCUCAAGGUCCACAAUUCAACACAUUUGGAUAUGACUCAUAUGGUGGCAACCUUGAUUUAUGUGGUCUUCCUUUAUCAAAGCAAUGUGAAACAAGUGAUUCAUCACAUGUUCCUCAACAAGAAGAUGAAGGCGAGUCAUAUUUUUUUAGUGGAUUUACGUGGGAAUCAGUAGUCAUAGGCUACAGUUGUGGUCUAGUUGUUGGAACUUUUCAUGUGGAGUCUCAUGUUUAAAUAUCGUAAGCCAAAAUGGUUUGUGGAAUUUUUUGAUGGACUCAUGCCUCACAAAAGAAGAAGGCCAAAGAAGAGAGCUCAGAGAUGACGGACUUAAUGGAAGAUUGAGAGGGUAACCUUGUCUUUGUUUGAUUUUGUGGACUAAUUAGUGAACUUUUCUGGUUCUGUUUUUGUCUUUUCAAUUUUCUAUUUGUUGUUUGUAUAUGUUUGAUAGAAACAUAAUUAUAUGUGUGUUAUUCAAGUUAUGUUAGUUUGUUUCUGUUUCAAGUUGAUAGAAGUGAUUUACACAGCCACUCAUUAGUUAUGUUACUCAGACUCUUCAAAAAUGUCAACGACUACAUAUUGAAUUCUUCAAAAGUAGAGCAUUUUUUAUGAAACCAACACAAAUGCAACACCAUUUUAUUUUUAGGAGAGUCGGAGCAACAUAGCUCAUCAGCAUAACAAAAACAGGAAAUUGCACAAGCAAAUAGAUCAGUUUGGUUUAUGAUUGAAAUCACUUGAUAUUAGAAAGUUUAUAUUUUUGAAAAUUUAAGUAGAAGAGUACUCAAAACUACAUAAUUUGCUAAUAAUUUUGUGGUUCUGCAUCUUUAGAAUCAUAAAUCACUUAAAAUGUUCUCUAACUCAAUAUCAACUUCCGCAAAUUUAAUUUUAGUAAGUUUUUACAUAUAUUUAUACUUCGUGUACGAAAAAUAAUGUCUCUGGUUGUUCAACAACUAAUUCAUAUUGUUUGAUUAUCAAUGCGGAAAAGGUUUUUUUAAAAGGGCAAAAUGUUCUAUACAAGGAUUUUAGAAGUGACUAGUACUCAUUCAUGGACUACAAGUGACUUUGAGUCUUCCUGGAAAUUGACUUAACACUUAGGACAACCACAAAUUAUUUGUUUGGAUGUGUUUCUUUUCUUUCGCUAAUUUAUACCUCAAUAGUCCCAUGCAUAGACAAGUCAACAACGCUACUUUAUGAAAUACUGUUUGGUUAAUUGUUCACUAUAUUUUAAUGUGGAGGUCGUUGUAAUAAUUAAGAAAUGGAAUAGUGUUUGGUUAAUUAUAGCAUCCUUUCUUCCGUGACUACUUAUUUUAUUGACUUAUUUAUAUGUUGACAAUUAUCAUGAACCCAUAUUAUAUUAUUACUAGGUAAAUUACCCGUGCUUCGCACGGAAUUGAACUAUUUUAUUAAGCUUACAUAUGAUCAUUCGAUAAUAUUCAUAUUUUCGAUACAUACACUACAUUGUCAAGAUCAUUUUAUCUUAAGGCAAAACGUUCCUCCAAAAUCUUAAAGUGCUAUAUUUUUUUAAUUUUCAUUUUUGUUAUACAAAUAUUAUGAGUCAUAGAUAGAUUUUAAGUAUAAGAAAGAAGUCUAAGAAAAUCUCCUUGGAAAUAGUUGGUCAGAAGUAAUGGAAUAUUUUUAAUUCCAAGAAGUUAUAAAGAACAACAUCAGACGUUAAUAAAGAGACCAAAAAAGGUCGAACAACAACACUUCCAAGUAAAGUGGAGUAUCACGUCCAUACAAGAUCAUAAUUAACUAAAUUCAAAUGGACGACCAUGGACUCCUUUCUUAUGAACCUCCAUCAAUCUCUUUUUUAUUAUUGUAUGCCAUAUCAAGUAUAUGCUAAAAAUGACCCUAAAAUUGUUAUUAUCAUAAAUGUUUUUUUGUCAUUGUCUCAAAAUAGUCAUUACUAUUUUAAAGGUUUCAUAUCACCGGCCCCAACUUAUUUGGAUUAAACCAUAGUUAUUGUUAUGGUUAUAGUAUGCAGUUACAAAAAAAUUAAUGCAAUUAUCAGCCAAGCAAUAGGUGACAUCUGAAUGUUCACAACGGGAUAUUCUAAACAAAAAAUUUGACACAUAACAUAUUAAAAUCUCACAACAUAAUUUUGUGAGCACUUGAACUCACAAAUAUCCUAAAAUAAUAAUAAAGACAAUCUUACUUUCCUAACAAUCAAGAAGAAAAAGGCUCGUUGCUUAAUAUAUUUUUCAAAAAGAUAGUCUUUCGGGUUGUAUCCAAGUUCACAGUUCACAAAUUUAGUUGAAAGAAGCCAAAAGAAAGAGUUAUUACUUCUUUAUCAAAAAAAUUUAAAACUUUAUCAAAAGAAUGAGUUAUCACUACAACAAAAAUGAUCUUUAACGAUAAUUAAUAGCUUAAUUAUCGCUAAAUAUGUAUUUUCAGAGGCAAUUGGUACUCUGUAUAAAUGUUCCUAAAGUCUAUAGCAACAUUGAAUCCAAUGACAGUUAAUUCAUGUCGGUAAAGGCUGUAGCACUCUUCGUGAACGUGCAUAUUUAUUGCCGAUAAAAAAUAUUUUUGUUGUAGUGUAUUUUGGACAUUUGUUAGUUUUAAGAAAACUUGAUCUCUUAUUAUGCCCAAAAAGAAGAGAAGAGGAAAUAUGACAAAUUAGUUAACUUGCGAUAAAUGAUGUGGACUAAUUGUCUCUAUACAAAUUUUCUAGGAAUAGUGCAAUGGCAUACAAAAUGUUUGUACCUAAGAAAAAACAAUCAAAAUAAUAUACUAACUGUGGCAAACAAGAGAGAAAUCAUUUUGGUUCUUUUAACAAACUUCAUCAUUGGUUCCGUACUAGUUAUCAGAUUUUUGUUGUUGUGUGCUAUCAAAUAUAGCACAACCCACAAGCAAUUUUCCCAAAAAGUAUAUGAAGAAAAACUGUAGAAAGGGACAAAAGAGAAGAUAAACUUUCAAUCAUCCUCAUUGAAAUUUUGAACAUAAUUAAAAAAAAAGUCACCAAAAUAGCAAAAAGAAAUUGCAAUAGAUACAUGAAUCACUAUGAUUUAUAGUAAAAAAUUAAGCUUCAUGAAAUAGGAGGAAAAAAACUUUGAGAAAUGAAAUGCACUUUAUAAGAAACUUAAUUAAUGUAUUUGAUUUCGAAAAAAAAUACAAAUAAUAGUGGUAGAAAUAAAAGAUUUGUUUACUAAAGAACCAAAUGUAAUGAAUUCAGUCAUCAACCAUUUCAGCAGUGUUAUGAGUUGUGCACUGAGAGAUCCAAGAGCAGUAAUGUCGCAUUGCAAUUGAAAUCAAUUUUCUUUGUUUAUAUGAAGAAACCUGUAGAAAGUGACAAAAGAGAGGAUCAAUUUUCAAUCAUCCCUGCUGAAACUUUAACAGAGUUAAAAAAAAGGUCACCAAAAUAGGAAAAUGAAAUUGCCAUAGUUACAUGAAUCACCAUGACUUACAAUAAAGAUUAAGAUCCAUGAAAACUUUUAGGAAUGAAAAAAAUUCCUAAAAACUUAAUUAAUGUAUUUGAAUUUGACUACCCUAUAGAGGGAAAAAAACCUACAAAUUAUAGUGGCAGGAAAUUCCUCUAUUUAUAGACAACAUAGAGUAGUGUGAACAAAUUUUUAUUGUGCCUUAUCCGAGAUGUCACAACUCUUUGGAAAAGUUACAACCCUUCAGAAAGGUCACAACCUUUCAUAAAAGUCAUAAUUUUUCAUAAAAGUUGCAACUCUUCAUAAAAGUCACAACUUUUCAUAAAAGUCACAGCUUUUAAUGAAAAGGGAAGGCUAGUUUUGGAAAUAAAUAAAAUUUAAAAGGGAAUCCUAGUUUAUGGUGGCGCCACGUAGGCGGGCCUAGGGUUCUCUUUUAUAUAAAUUUUUGAUUUUUGAUAUAUGAUUUUUACGUUUACCUUUUUUAUUCUUCUUUCUAUUUUUAUUCUUUCAUUAUUAAAUAUUCUAAAGUCUAACCUUUUGCAUUAUACAAAAUAUAUUGUUGGGUGUUAAUAAAAAUAUCAAAUUUAUUUUUUGGUGUAUUCUUUAAAUUACAAGCACUACAACAAACACUACAAUAAAAACAACUUGUUGCGGUUUCUGAACCUUUCAUAUAAUUCAUUAACAGGCCACCUACCACAAUUUUAUUUCCAUAAUCUAGGGUAUCUUGAUCUUAAAUUUAACUCCCUUCAGGGGCCACUAUCUUCAUCCAUUUGAAACAUGAGCAUACUUAGACUUGGGGAAAUUGAAUGUGCUUGAAGCAAUGAUUAAAUUAGAUGACGGAGACAAAGGUGAGAUCAAAUAUAUGGAACAAUUGAGUGAAUAUUCAAUGUAUGAAGAUUCAGUGAGUUUGGUGAUCAAAGGCCAUGAUACUGAGCUAGAAAAAAUCAACACAAUUAUGACAACCAUAGAUCUCUCAAGCAACCAUUUUGAAGGUGUCAUUCCAAAAAUACUAAAGGAUCUUGGCUCACUUCGGUUACUCAAUUUAUCACGUAACAAUCUCAAAGGUGAUAUUCCAAUGGAACUGGGGCAAUUGAAUGUGCUUGAAGCAAUGGAUCUGUCCUGGAAUCGGCUCACUGGAAAUAUUCCUACUGAAUUGACAAGACUAAAAUUUCUAGCAGUCUUAAACCUCUCUCAGAAUGUUCUUGUCGGUCCAAUUCCUCAAGGUCUACAAUUCAACACAUUUGGAAAUGACUCGUAUGGUGGCAACCUUGAUUUAUGUGGUCUUCCUUUAUCAAAGAAAUGUGGAACGAGUGGUUCAUCACAUGUUCCUCAACCAUCGGAGUCGUAUUUCUUUAGUGGAUUUACGUGGGAAUCAAGGCUACAGUUGUGGACUAGUUGUUGGAACUGUCAUGUGGAGCCUCAUGUUUAAAUAUCGUAAUCCAAAAUGGUUUGUGGAAUUUUUUGAUAGACUCAUGCCUCACAAAAGAAGAAGGCCAAAGAAGAGAGCUCAGAGACGACGGAUUUAAUGGAAGAUUGAGAGGGCCAACUUGUCUUUGUUUGAUUUUGUGGACUAGUUAGUGAACUUUUCUGGUUCUGUUUUUGUCUUUCUGUUUGUUGUUUUGUAUAUGUUUGAAAGAAACAUAAUUAUUAUAUGUGUGGUAUUUUAGUAUCAAUGGUUAUUCAAGUUAAGUCUAUUUCUGUUUCAAGUUGACAGAAGUGAUCUACACAGCCACUCAUUAGCUAUGUUACUUAGACUCUUCAAAAAUGUCAAUGGGUACGUGUUGGAUUCUUCAAAAGUAAUGCAAUUUUUAAGGAAUCAACAUGGGUGUCAUUAUAUUUUAGGAUAGUCGAAGCAACAUAACUCAUCUUUCUUAACAUUUUCUGUUUCUGUAUUUAUUUCUUUUAAAGAUCAUUGCUUUGAUCUUAAUGGCUUUCAACCCAUAUUAGGAACACUUGAAAUGGCUGAACUCAUACACACAGAGGAUAGAAACUAUUCAGCUGUUGACUGAAGUGAUCCACUUAUUAGUACAACAAAACAGGAAAAGGCUACAUCCACCUCUGGGGCUCAUGUUGUUCUGUUUCUUCAAAUGCAAAACACUCUCUAUCAGGAUUUUCUUUAUUUUCAAGGUUCGAAUCCGAAACCCUUGGUUCAAUUUUACCUGGAACCAUGCAUUUAGCAUAACUAUAUGUCCUAUUGCAUUAUAGUUAUUAUACAAAGUGGAAAAGUUCAAGGGAUAAUAACACCAUCUCAAAAGUCGGGUGUGUAACUGAAAAUCUAAAUCAACUUUAGGGGUAUACUUAGGGCUGUUCAAAACUGAACCAUAACCGAUAAGUCAAUCGCAAAAUUGACUUAUUGGUAUUGGAUUAUCGGAUUAACGGUUGGUCAACGGAUUAAAAUUUUAUAGUUAAUGGUGCGGGGCGGAUUACUCAAUGGUGCGGGCCGGAUCACUCAAUUUCCUUCUAGGGUAAACCAUUAACCUUUUAAAAAUUAUCGUAGUUAGGAUAUUUAUUAAGUAAAUACUAAUGCGCUUGCACCCUCAAAAUUUAGUUCACAUGUGUUGUCACGCCCUGAGCCUACACCCUGGACGUGGCGGGCACUCGAAGACCAUUGCUGGUCCCAAGCGAACUGUUGGCCUAGUUUACUUGACUCAGCGGAAGACUUAAACUAAACAAAGAUAAGUUCAUAUAAUAAAUUGGAAUGUUAUAAAGGAACAUUCAACUGGACAUUAAGGCAAACUCAAGUCUGAACAUGGAGUAAUGACAAUGAAAAAACUAAAAACUAACAUCUGACUGUCUAUGAAGCCUCUAAUAACAACUGAGAUGGAUGUUGGGAUAGACCCCACAACAUCCUAAUAAACUAAACUGGAAAGCAAUGAAAUGGAUCCUCCGGAAAGCAAGGAGGCUCACCAACAGACUCUGGACUGCUCACUGGAUCAACGAUGCGUCAGGAUGCCGAUCCUAGUUACCUGUGUUUGCAUCAUAAUACGAUGCAGACCAACUGACAUCAGUACAUUGAGUGUACGAGUAUGCGAGUUGGAAUGCUAAAACAACAUAGACUAGAAAGAAUCUGAGAGAAACUGAAGAACUUACAUGACUCAACUCAACAUGACUGAACUCAUUUCAUUAUAAAUCAGUUUAAAAGCAAGUGCAAUAUAAAGAAAAGUUGUUUAAAAACAUGAUAUUAACUCUGUGUGUAUGCAAGAUACAAAUAACUCUGAGAUGUAUUUAAAAAUACAAUAAACUGAUGUAUAUAAAAAUACAAUAACUUCUGUGGGAGUUUCUCUAACCGACAACCACCACUUAUGAAACUAAGUGGUGAUACAACGUUUUACCUCACGUUACCCAAGGACCAUCNNNNNNNNNNNNNNNNNNNNNNNNNNNNNNNNNNNNNNNNNNNNNNNNNNNNNNNNNNNNNNNNNNNNNNNNNNNNNNNNNNNNNNNNNNNNNNNNNNNNNNNNNNNNNNNNNNNNNNNNNNNNNNNNNNNNNNNNNNNNNNNNNNNNNNNNNNNNNNNNNNNNNNNNNNNNNNNNNNNNNNNNNNNNNNNNNNNNNNNNNNNNNNNNNNNNNNNNNNNNNNNNNNNNNNNNNNNNNNNNNNNNNUUAUCCCGGGAUUAACUUACCUUAUCCCGGGAUUAACUUACCUUAUCCAUUACACCAAACGACCCCUAAGUCUUAAAACAAAGUUAAAAGCCUUUGCAAAAGACUUCUUGAAAAGACUCUAAGAAUUUCUUAGACUUGGCUCUUGACUUUCCUUGAAUUUAAAUUUAGGAAUUCAAGGUUAUGGUUUAUGUUUCUGGAUGAUUUCUAGACGUUUAGAAGUCAUUUAGAGUAGUUAGAAUCAAUGGAAAGUGUUAGUACACUUUAGAAGAACUUAAAUAGGCUAGACGACGGAAAACUGACGAAAAACGACGAUUUGGGCGCAUCCCGGGCGCGCUGCGCCAGCCCCAACUUACUGGGGCUCAAAUCUGGCGCACUGUUGGCGCGCUGCCCCAUCCCCUCGGGCGCAUCUGGGGCGCGUUGCGCCAGCCUCCCUUCAAGCAAAAUUCUAACGAACUUUUGCUCUCGUUUUCUGAUCCUAAAUCGUUUUAAUCUAAUUCUUUUUCUCAAUUUCACUUUAGAUUUAUGUACCCAAAUCAUAUACACAAGGAUCUAACUCAAGGAACUCAAGAACUAACAACUUAGUCAUCAAGAACUCCUAAAACUCAACUCAUGUUCAAGAACAAAAGUAAUUCAAGAACCACAUUCAAUAACAUUCAAAAUCCAAUCUUUUUGAAAUGAAAUCGCUGAAUCAAACAUGCUUGGCACGUGGGUAAACGAACCCAACAUUGAGAUAGACUCACAUACCUUAAUUGAUUGAAUCCUCGGCCAAAUUCGCAAGCAAUUCCUUACGACGACAACGAAUCUAGCUUUUUCCUCCUUUGUCUUUUCUUGCGUUCUUCCUCCAAAACCCUAGUUCUAUUUGGUAAAUGUCUAAACUGAUUUAAUUCAGCUUAGACCCCUAAUUAAUUACCAAAAAUGAAUUAAAAUAAAAGGGUAAGGAAAAGACCAAACUACCCUUUAAAAUCCGGAUUGGACAUUUCCUUAAUCCAACAACCCAACUUCCAAAGGGAAUAUCUCACUCAUAUGAACUCGUAAUCGUGCAAACUUGGCGGCGUUGGAAAGAUAAUUCCAAGAGCUUUACAAUUAUACCUGGAAGUACACCUAACUCAUCUUGAUCUAGGAGUUAUCUCCGUUUGAAGUUGGCCCAAAAAUCAACUUUUCUUAACUUAAACAAAUUUUCCAGAUUUUUGUUAUUUCCAAAAAAAAUGACUAUUUCAACUUCUUAGCUUCUUCCUAGUUAUUUCAAUUUGUGAGAUGUUACAUGUGUCUCACUGUGAUUUACAAUUACUGAAUUACCAGCUUAAGUAGGGCUAGAAAAAAAUGUUUUGUUUGAUGGGAGAUCAAUCUAAUUGUGAUUGAAAGUGAAAGAAGGGAGCACGGAAUGUUGGAGCCAAUACACCAACCGAUAACCAUCCAUUAAUUCCUAACCCGAUACCGAGUCAACCGAUAGCUUAUCCAUUGGCUAGCAGAUUAAUUUCUUUCUCGUGUUUGUAAUUUUAUCUUGUUUUAUUUUUUCUUUCACUUAGACUCCAUAUUUAUUUAUUAAGAAAUUAAUUAAAUAUAUAAUUAUGAAUUUGGUAAUUAGAAUGAGUUGUGAGAGUUAAACGAUAAAUUCAAAAUUUAUAGAAAUCAAAUUUUGGCUCCAUUUCUGAAAGGUGAGGUAAAGAUAGGGCUUGGAGUUUAUGAAAUCUAGAUUUUAGAAAAAGACCGCACCUUAAUAGGCUUUUGAUAGAUUAUUUGAAAAUUUUAAAUAUUAAUAUAUGAUUUGAGCUGAAGUUACUAAACACUUUUCGAACCCAAGCUAUACUUCUUUCUCAGGGUAUACCCUCCACAACUUCACUCUUAAUCAUAUAUUUUGACUUUGAAUCAUUCUAGUACUAGAAUAAGGAUAAUCAGCUAGGCAAUUAAGCAACACUUUCUGGCAUGGUGGUACAACUGCCAACAACUAGAAACAUUUUUCAUAUUUCUUAAAUUCAAUCAAUGUAGUAACUUGUAAACUUAAGUUUCAUAGUUAAGAUAUGGUAAAAAAAAUAAAAAUAAUAUCUCUUUUAUUGAGUAAGGUAUAAUCUACAGAAAUUUUUAUGGGCCUCAAAAAUGGGCUGCUCCUUUUAAACAUGGGAUGGGCUUCUCUUCUCUUAAUGGGCCUUAUGCUGCACGAGCCUGUAUUAGUUGGAGCUCCGAAACAGGAAUAGAACACCGGGUUAAGGAUUUGAAAAUUAUCUUUCCAAAUGACAUUCAAGCUAGGUGCUCUAAUAUAUUUUACUCGCUUUCCUUAACUUCCUUGAUUUAUCUUUAUCUAUACUGACAGUGUAAAACUUAUCACUUAUAAUAGUUAACACGUUAUUUUCCUGAUUUCAAAUUAUUAAUCUCAUGAAGUUUCACUUAUAGUUACUUUUAGAUGACUUGAUAGUGAAAAAAAAUAUUCUUUGAAACUUUGUUUCAAAUUGUCUAGCAUACAAUUAUCCCAGAACAAUGUAGGGGCGGAUCUAGUGAAGCAGCUACGAGUUCAUUCGAACCAAGUAGCUUUGCUUAAGACUCUUUAUAUAUGUUAAAAAAUGAAUUACAUAUUUUUCAACCUUUCAAAAUAAAUGGUACUUGUAUUGUUACCAUGUAGUACCUAAGUGUAAUGGUUACGCAUAAUUUGUAAAUUUUGUAAUGAAGGGUCUAUCGGAAACAACCUCUCUUCUCUACCUCCACAAGUUAUGAUAAGGUCUGCAUACACACUACCCUCCUCCUCAGACCGCACUUGUGGGAUUACAUUGAGUAUGUUGUUGUUUGUUCAUUUAGUUGUUGUGAAAAACUAUAAGAUAGUACCAUUUUUUGUUGUGUGUUACACAUGAUUCAGUCCUUAAGACAGCAAAGCUGGUCUUCUGUAGGAGAUAUUUGUCUCAAGUUCACAUUUGAUAUGUGUUACACAUGGUUCUAUAUAUGUGGAUAGGAAAAAUCUAUGUAGGAGAUAUUUGUCUUAAAUAACAUCACCAUUGAUGCUGGAAUACAAAUCACUUUCCCUAGCCUAGAAGUUUUGCAGUUUUCUUGUAAACUGAAGGAUUUUUCACACUUGUUGAGAAAUGUAAAGACAUUUGUGUACUUGGAUAUUUCUGCUCCCAAUUGCACACGCAAAUGUAUGUGGUCGCGGAAGAAAUAUAGUGACUCUUAACAGAAUCGGAUUAUAUAUCGAACCCAAAAGACUUGUCAAUUAACUAUUUUACUAAAUUAUACUGGUCUAAUUAUUUAUUUAAGAGUGCCAAAAGAAUUGACUUUUAUUUAAAUACUAAGAAUGCAAGAAUUAAAUAAUAAAAUUACUUACAAUGGUUGGAAAAUUUCAGGGCCGCAACAUGCAUAGGGUUCAUGUAUCACAUCUCAUGCAUGAAUUAACUACAGUUAUCAAAUUACUGAUUUACACGGUUGAUUUUAUGAUCGAUCAUGGUCUUCCGACCUCUAAUCGUCUACUCAAUUUAGUUGUUUAACUACAUCGUUGAGUGAGGAUAGACAGUCCUAAUUGACGAGCAUUUAUAUUUCCUCAUGUUUUGUGACCAAGCUAGGUGUUCGUCUGAGCGUCAUUCCUAAACACAAAUCAACUCAAUUUAAUGGAAGAUCAACCUUUUUGUAUCCAUUGGUCUAUCUACCUUAGUGUCUCCUGAUUUUAAGAGUAGACAAUAGAUUUAUCUCUAUGAUGGCCAGUCAAGAAAUACUAAAACAAGAAUACAAAAGUAAUUUAAGCGAUAAUCGAUGUUCAACACUUACACAUAGCUACAACCCUAGAACAAGGGCCUUUAACUACUAAUGUCUAAGAAAAUAUAUAGAAGCCUAAAAAGUAUUGACAACUUUAUAGUUAUACCUAUGAUUCAUCUCCCCCAAUAAUUAUUUCUAUGAACUAUUUAUAGAUAUAGAAAAUUCCAAAUAAAAUAACUGAGUCCAAAACAAAUCGGAAAAUCAAAACCAAACGGAAUUUGACUUCCACGUCAACAAUGGUCGUCCAACUGCCUCAAUUCUCUUUGCUGCCUUCAGAAUCAGCCACGUGGCAACUAAUGUAGGUAAACUUCAUUAAUUUCCUUUCUUUGUACGUUUGAAUGAAUAUUAAGUUGUCUGCUUGAUUUUCUUCUAUAAUCUUUCAUCUUUAAUUCGUUUUAGGUCCAAAUUUUUUCAUCUUCACACCAAUUUAAUCUUAUAAAUAAAAUACACUACUUAGCAUAAUUCAUAAAAUUCAUGCUAAAAAAGGACAAAUAUAUAUAAUAAAUGUAAGGUAAAUAAUGAUUAAAAUAUAUAUUUUUAGCCUCAUAUCAAUAAGAUUCGUGGUCAAAUCCCUAACUGGUUUAAUGGCAUGAGGUGGGGUUCGUAAACCUUUCACAUAAUUCAUUAACAGGCCACCUACCAAAAUUUCAUUACCAUAAUGUAGAGUAUCUUGAUCUUAAAUUUAACUCCCUUCGGGGUCCACUACCUUCAUCCAUAUGUAACCUAAUAUAUAUUCCUUUAACAAUCUGUACAUUGAAGCAACUCACACUUUUAGAUCUUUGGAGGAGAAAUUCCUGCAUUUGAAAGUUCGAUUUUUUUGUGUUUGCCGUAGCAGUGGACUUAUAGGCCUAUUCAUCCUUGUAAUGAAAAUUGAACAUGAAUGAAAAUAAAAACCAAAUGAAAGAAAAAAAAUAUGGAGUAUAUAUUAUUUUGUUAGGUCUUCUUCGUCCUCUAACAAACACUACAAAAUAUGAGUAAUAAGUUGUUAGAAGUGAGUAGUACUCAUCUAUGGACCACAAGUUGCGUACCAUUUAUGAUUGUAUAGAUUCCAUGGAAAAAUUGCAUAGAAAUUUAAUGCAUUUGUACAACUUGGUUUCCUCUAUUCCGAAUGUACAAUAAUUGUUCUCACAAUUGGUUCAAUGACGCGUUUUGACCUUUUAUGAUUAUAUAGAUUCCGUGGAAAAAUUGUACUAAAAUUUAUUGCAUUCAUACAACUUGGUUUCACUUGAUUAAAGGGACCAAUUUCACAUCAUCUUGCUUAACACAUACUGCAGAGAUAGUCGAUCUAUGACCUCGAAAUGAACAACAACAUCUAGAGAAAAUGAGGACAUAGUGAGUAUUAUAUUGUUAAGUCUUCUUCGUGCUCUAAAAAAUCUCGUGAAACACUACAAAAUAUGUGUAACAUGUUGUUAUAAGUGACUAGUACUUAUUCAUGAAGUACAGGUGACUUUGAGUCUUCCUGGAAAUUGACUUUAACACUUAGGAUGUGUUUCUUUUCUUUCGUUAAUUUGUACCUCAUAGUCCCAUGCAUAGACAAGUCAGCAAUGCUACUUUAUGAAAUAUCGUUUAGUUAAUUAAUUGUUCACAUUAUUUAAUGUGGAGGUCGUUAUAACAAUUAAGAGAUGAAAUGGUGUUUAGUUAAUUAUAUCAUCAUUUCUUACGUGACUACUUAUUUUAUUAACUUAUUUAUAUCUGGGCAAUUAUCAUGAACCCGCAUUAUUAUUUUUACGUUUAUCUUUUUUAUUCUUUCAUUAUUAAAUACUCUAAAGUCUAUCAAACGGUAAAACCUUUUGAAUUAUACAAACAAUAUUGUUGGGUGUUAAUAAAAAGAUCAAUCUGUUUUUUGGUGUAUUCUUUAAAUUACAAGCACUAUAACAAAAACAACUUUUAGCUCAAAAGUCACUUAACUAUGAAUUCUUUUCUCAAAAAGUCACUCAACAUUGAAUUUUAACACAAAUAUCACUCAAUUAUGAGUGGUUUACUUACAAAGUCACUCAAUUAUGAUUGUUUUACUUACAAAGUCUGUUAACAUAUUUAAUUGUUUUUUUAAUUAAAAUUUGUUGGUAUAAUUUUCUUAUUUAAAAUUAAUAUUUUAAAAAAAAGUAAUAUCCAUUAAAUAAUUUAAUGAUCUGCCCCGCUAAAAAUAUAAUAUUGAUUUUUUUUUUAAUUGGAAUUCAAGAAUAAUACGGGAAUAAAUUAUUCCAUGCAUCAGAAUUCUAAGCAUUAUGAGGAAUAAAUUAAUUUCCUCUUCAUCCCCUCCCCCUUUCUCAGUUGCUGCCUCUUCUUCCUCUUUUAGUUUUUUUAAUUGGAAUUCAAAAAUAAUACUGGAAUAAUUUCAUGCAUCAGAAUUCCUAAAGCAGAGGAGAAAGAAUCCGACAAUAAUUUAGGAGAAUUAGCGGUAAAAUAAAAUGGGUCAAUAUUAUAUUUUUAGGAGGUCAUUCAUUAAAUGAUUUAAAUGAAUAUUUUUUUAUUUUUUAAAAUAUUGCUUUUAAUAAAAUUUUAUACCAGCAAAUUUAAUUAAAAAAUUAACUAAAUAGGUCAAAUGACUUUGUAAGUAAAAUACUUAUAGUUGAGUGACUUUGUAAGUAAAACACUCAUCAUUGAGUGACCUUUUAGUUAAAAUUCAAGUUGAGUGACUUUCUGAGAAAAGAAGUCAUAGUUGAGUGACUUUCUGAGAAAAAAAAUUCAUAGUUGAGUGACUUUCUGAGAGAGUAGUGCAUAACUGAGUGACAAUAUUAUAUUACGUGGUUUUGAGUAAGUUUUAUUAUUCUAACUUUAUAUUAUAUAUUUUUUCAUUGAAAAUUUUCGUUGUUUGUAUUCUUACUUCAUAAUGGUCUAUGACUUUGUGUACAUCCUACCUUCUUGAAACUUUACUUGUAGGAUUACAUUAAUCAGUAUGUUAUAAGUAUUCAAUUUAUGUUCGAGUAAUCAACACCAAAUAUUUGGGCAUAUCCCUUGACAACAAGCCUAGCCUUGUAUUUAUUGAUAGAACCAUCAGAAUUGAGCUUGGUUCUAAACACCCAUUUUACUCCAAUGACCUUCAUAUCUUUCAGUCGGUCGACUAACUCCCAAGUUUUGUUUUUCUUGAUCAUUAGCAUCUCCUGCUCCAUUGGCGUUUUCUCCAUUUUUUAUCUUGAAGUGCUUCAUCGUGCCCUGCAGGCUCACAAACUGCCACAUUACUUUGUUGGUAGAUGUCAGAGAGUAGUCUUGUACCUCUAAUUGGAAGAUCAUCCACCAACUCAUUUUUCCAGUGAUCCGAUGCCUGCUCCUCUGAAGCUUUGACUGAAAGUUGAUUGUCCUUCCAGUCCCAUUUCUCUUCAUCAACAAAGUGCACAUCUCUACUGACAAUCAUCUUCCCUGUUUGUGGAUUAUAUACUUUGUAGGCCUUGGAGGAUGAGCUACAACCCACAAAUAUUCCAGGAAGUGCCUUCUUGUCAAGUUUGUCUCUUUUAACCUGUGGCACAUGGAAGAAACAAACACAACCAAAUACUUUAGUGAAGCUUAGUGAUGGUUUGUAUCCAUUCCAAGCCUCAAAUGGAGUUUUAUUCAACAAUGCUUUAGUAGGAAGCUGAUUUUGGAGAAAUAUUGCCGUAUUAGCUGCCUCAGUCCAAAAACUUUUCGGCAACUCUUUUUCAUGCAACAUGCACCGCGACAUCUCCAUUAUAUAUCUGUUUCUCUUUUCACUAACUCCAUUUUGUUGCGGAGUAUAUGGAGCAGUAAGCUGAUGAGUAAUACCCGCUUUCUCACAAAAUUUGUUAAAUUGUUCAAAAUUAUACUCUUUUCCAUUGUCAGACCACAGAGAUUGGAUUCUGCAACCACUUUGAUUUUCCACCAUCUUCUUGAACUUCAAGAAAAUUCCAGCCACUUCUGAUUUAUAUUUCAUAAAAAAAAUCCAGCAGAAUCUUGUAUAGUCGUCAAUGAAUAUAACGUAGUAUAGACUACCAUUAAGGGAUGGUGUUCUUUGAGGUCCUGCAACAUCUGUGUGAAUCAGUUGCAACCUUUGAGAAGUCCGCCAUGUUGCUUUAGGAAAUGACUUCUUAUUCUGCUUACCAAAUUGACAAGCUUGACAACUUGGUAAGUGAUCAACUAGAGUUGGUAGUCCUCUUGUCAUAUCUUCCUUCUCCAGCAACAAUAGUGCUUGUAGAUGGCAAUGGCCAAGUCUCUUGUGCCAGGUUUCCGUUACACUUGCCUUCAUGGAAUAAGCUAGUCACUCUUUCUCUGUUGGAUCAAAGGAAAAAAUCCUUCCUCUCAUCUUCACCCUGAAAAUUUCAUUUCCAGUAGUGUCACUGAUUUGACAGUGAUGAUCUUCGAAGAAAACCUUGAAUUCUUUUUCCAUCAGAUGUCCUACGCUUAGCAAAUUCUGAUCAAUUUCAAGAACAUACAGAACCUCUGAAAUUUUCUUUGUGCCAGUGCUCGUCUUGAUAGCUAUGGUUCCAAUUCCUUUGACAGGAAGGUGAUCUCCAGUUCCUAUCCAAACCUUCGAAAUUUCAGUGGGCUUCAACUCCUUGAAUAAACUCUCGUCAUGAGUCAUGUGGUUAGUGCAACCUGUAGUAUCCGGAAAUUUGAAAAUAGCUAUGACGAGGCUGAGAAUUGGAAAUAGUCACUUUUUGGAAAGAAUUCAAAUCUGGAAAUUUGGUUAAGUGUGGGAAAAAAAUGAGUUUUUGGCCAACUUUGAACAGUCAUAACUCCUAGAUCAGGAUAAGUUAGGUGUAGUUCCAGUUAUUUUUGCGAAGCCCUUGGAAUGAUCUUUCCAACACUGCCGAGUUUGCUCGAUUCCGAGUUUGUAUGAGUGAGUUAUGCCCUUUGGAAGUUGGGUUGUUGGUAUAGGAAAGUUCACCCGAAAUUGUAAGGGUAUUUUGGUCUUUUCCCUAACCAAUUCUUUUGGUUAUAUUAGUGUGUUAGACUGAUUUUGGAUUAGUUUUUCCCAUUUUAAAGAGUAAGAGAGAGGGUUUGUGAGUGAAGAGGAGAAGAAGAGGAGAAAGAGGGGAUCAAGCAAGGAUUCAUCAAAGAUCGUCGUGGAUAUCGUCGGGGGUGAUCCCUACUAGGUAUGUGAGUUCAUAGUGUUGGGUUGGUUCUUUCCCCCACACGCCAAUCUCGUUUUAAUUUCGAGAAAAGAUUGAUUGUGUUUGUUGAAGUUGUUGGUUGUGAUUGUGUUGAAGUUCUUGUUGAUUUGGGCAUGUUUUCGGUUGUGUUUCUGGGUUAAAUAUAUUGUAUGUUGAGGGGUUUUAUGAUAUUAAGUGUUUGGGGCUGGAAACUUUGAAGUUGGGAAGGUUUAGAAUUGGAAAAACAAGGAAGAAAAGUCGAAUUUUCGAGGGAAAAGGGGUGGGCCAUCGCGCCUGCCAGCGCGCCCCAAAAGGGGUUCUGAACUUUCCCCCUUGGGGCGGCGCACCUAGCAGCGCGCCAGCAGGCCCCUCUGAAGUUUUAGGGCUGGCGCCCCGCGCCUCUCAGAGCAACAAGGACGCCAACCUUUCCCAUUCAUUCCCCACAUUUUCAUGCAUGUUCCUUAGUAUUGUACUUAUGUUUCAUAGUUGUUUCCAACACUCCAAGGUACGUCUAAACGUCAAGAACUCAUCGAUAAACAUGUGAUCAUAUACCUUGAAUCCAUAAUCCAAUUCAAGGCGAGUUAGGAUCAAGUCAAAGUGAAGUUAAGGGUCAAGUCUAGAAGUUAAGAAGCAAGUCAAAGCAAGUUUUCAAAGGUGUUCAAGAGUCUUUAUUGAACGUUCUAACUUCAUUUUAAGGCUCAAGUUUCAAGUCAAGUAAAGAGUAUAGAGCUUCAAGCUAAGUAAAGAGUCUCAGGUUUCAAGUUAAGUCAAGAGUAUAAAGUUGAGUUCAUUUCUCAAAAACUAUUAGGGACCUAAGUAUUCCCAAAGACGUUUAUAAAUGUUUUUACAUUUGAGUAAGAAGGGAACCAUGUUCUCCAAAAAGAGCCUUUGGGCUAAGUUUGAGUAAUUAUCUCAACUAAAGAAAGAUUUGUUUAAAACACUUAUGAGCUAAAAUAUAUUUUUGGGAGUAGUCUUGAGCACCGAGUUGGGGACAUGAGUUCAUAUUAACUCAACUCUCCAUAAGAACCAUGUGGCCAACAUGGGAUUUAACGGGUCAUACUUUUUAGAUAAUCACGUAAGUUAAGCUAGUGGAUCCACUUAGUAAAGUUAGCUUCCUAUAUCACGGCAAGGUAUAGGAUGGGCCUCGGCAGUGCGAGGUAAAGCGCUGUAUCAUCACUAUAGUUCUUAAAUGAUGGUUGUCGGAUAGAGAAACUCCCACAGCAGUAGAAAGUGCUUGGUUCCUCGAGGAGUUCUGCUUAGUAUGAAUGGGGGUAUGGGACUUCAUUCAUACAUUGCACAAGUAGACCUUGAGAGGAAGCAUGGUAUUUUCAUGAUAUUAAAAAUAUGAUUUUUACGUCAUGUUUUAAGAGUUUUACAAGCUUUAUAUAUUGCAUGUGUCUUAUUGCUUUAUAUAUUGAGUUCAGUUAUUCAUGAGUCCUCCUUGCUUUCCAUAGGACUCGGUUAUUUUGUGUUCUUAGUUUUGUUUUAUUAGGGUGUUGCGGGGUCUGUCCCAACAUCCAUCUCAGUAUUUUUAGAGGCUUCACAGACAGUCAGUCAGUAAGUUUUGAGUCUCUCAUCUAUGUAUAUAUAUAAUAUUCUAUUUUGAGACGCGAGUUGCUUUUUUGGCUAGCUUUUGUCAGUUAGGUUGUUUUAUGACCUUUCAUUGCAUUGAGUUAUGCUGUUGAGUUAAGUUUCUGUUGAGUUAAGAAAAGCCAGGCCAAGGGUUCGCUUGGGGGCCAACAAUGGUGUUCGAGUGCCGGCCACGUCCAGGGUGUAGGUUCGGGGCGUGACACAACCACUGUCAACUAACCAAGAAUCUGUUGAGCUCUUACUUGAAAAGCAUGUUGCAAUAAAAGGAUGAUCUUCUUCUUCUUGAUCAACAACUUGAGCAUUUCCUUCCUCCUGCGGGGCCUAAUUCUUGCAAAUCACUGCUUCGUGUCCAAGCUUAUUGCAUUUCUUACAUUUAGCAUCAAGUCUCUUCCAACACUUGAAUGGUGCAUGGCCUUUUCUUCCACAAUGGUGACAAGGGGGAUAACUUUUUUUCGCACUUCCUCCCUUAGUUUUGUUGUUGGCUGAUGUUUCUCCUUCACACACUGCUUGAUUCUUUUUCUUCUUCUGAAUUUUGUUAACCUGAUGCUUACUGACAAGUGCCCCUUCUGUUGUAACCUCCUGUCUCAUGAGUCUUCUUUGCUCUUGAGCUUUCAGGGAAUUGAGCAACUCUGUCAAACUAAUCUUUGACAAAUCCUUAGUAUUUUAUAAGGUUGUAAUUGUUGCUUCAUACCUUUCAGGAACUGUUACAAGGAUCUUCUCAACAAUUCUCGAGUCUGAAAAUGUAGAGCCGAGUAGCCUCACCUUUUUUGCAAUAUUUAGAAGUCUAUCCGAAUAUUCCUUCACUGUUUCAGAUUCCUUCAUUUUUUGCAAUUCAAACUCCCUAAUUAAGUUUAAAACUUGCAUACCUUUUAUUCUCUCAUCUCCAGAAUACUCUUCCUUAAGAUAAUCCCAUACUUCUUUAGCAGUUUUCAGAGACAUUAUUCGCGUGAAAACUAUUGACGAUACAACAGCAAAUAAACAUGCCUUGGCCUUCGAUUUCUUUGUCUUCUGUUCCUUGUGUGCUUUAAUCUGAGCAAUGGUAGGAUUAUUUGGUAGGGCUGGAAUAUCGUAAUCCUCUUCCACAGCUUCCCAGAGAUCCAAAGCAUCCAAGUACGUCUCCAUUCAUACUGCCCAAAUCUGAUAAUUAUCUCCAUCAAAGACCGGCGGAGCAAUUGGUGAGAAACUUGCUUCAGCAUCCAUGGCUACUCCAACUCGAUCACAAAUCCCUUAAGAUGAAAGCUCUGAUACCAACUGUUUUUAGUAAGACUAAUGACAGAUAACACAAUGAAGACAAUGUCUAGUUUGCUACAGAAAGGAAAGCAGGAGAAUACAAGGAAUUUAAAUGUGAAGAUAACUAAGAGAAAAGCUUAUGCAGAAAGUUGUAUUUCAGUAAAAUCAACCAAAAAUACAUAAACAUACAAUUAAGUAACUGAUAUAGAUCAUGGUCCUACUUUUAAGUCAUGGUACUAACCAUGGUAACUACCCCUAAAAUAACUGAAAAAAGAAAUACAGGAAACUUAGAAAUAGAUCCUGCAGUCCUAAAGCAACUAACUAAUAGUCGUAAAUGGUAAUCGAUUUGAAGGACCUGUCCCUGUGUCGUUGCUCAAAUGUCAUAAUUUAGAAGUUCUUGAUGUGGGGAACAAUGCUAUAAAUGACACGUUUCCAUCUUGGCUUGAAAUUCUUCAAGAGCUGCAGGUCCUUAUAUUAAAGUCGAACAAGUUCCAUGGACCUAUAAGUACGUGUCAAACUAAGUUUUGCUUUCCCAAGUUGCGAAUUUUUUAUUUUUCUCGUAAUGAUUUCAGUGGCUCACUUCCUGCAAAAGUUUUUGGAAACUUCAAGGCAAUGAUCAAAUUAGAUGACGAAGACACAAGAGAGAUCAGGUACAUGGAAUCUAUGUCGAAUUUGUCAUCUAUCGCAUCGUAUGAGGAAUCAGUGAGUUUGGUAAUCAAAGGGCACGUUAUUGAGCUACAAAGAAUCAGCACAAUUAUGACAACCAUAGAUCUCUCAAGCAACCAUUUUGAAGGUGUCAUUCCGGAAACACUAAAAGAUCUCAGCUCACUUUGGCUACUCAAUUUAUCCCAUAACAAUCUCAUAGGUCAUAUUCCAAUGGAAUUGGGGCAAUUGAAUACACUUGAAGCUUUAGAUCUCUCCUGGAAUUGGCUCACUGGAAAGAUUCCGCAGGAAUUAACAAGAAUGAACUUUCUGGCCUUCUUAAACAUCUCUCAAAAUCAUCUCGUCGGACCAAUUCCUCACAGUCUACAGUUCAACACAUUUGAAAAUGACUCGUAUGGCGGCAACCUUGAUUUAUGUGGUCCUCCUUUAUCAAAACAAUGUGGAACGAGAGAUUCAUCACAUGUUCCUCAAGCAUUGGAGUCCUAUUUUUUUAGUGGAUUUACAUGGGAAUCAGUAGUCAUAGGCUACAGUUUUGGACUAGUUGUUGGAACUGUCAUGUGGAGUCUCAUGUUUAAAUAUCGUAAGCCAAAAUGGUUAGUGGAAUUUUUUGAUGGACUCAUGCCUCAGAAAAGAAGAAGGCCAAAGAAGAGAGCUCAGAGACGACGGACUUAAUGGAAGAUUGAGAGGGGCCAACUUGUCUUUGUUUGAUUUUGUGGACUAAUUAGUGAACUUCUCUGGUUCUGUUUUUGUCUUUUUAAUAUUCUGUUUGUUGUUUGUAUAUGUUUGAUAGAAACAUAAUUAUAUAUGAGUUAUUUUAGUAUCAAUGGUUAUUCAAGUUAUGUUUCUGUUUCAAGUUGACAUAAGUGAUCCACACACCAAACUUAUUAAUUAGCUAUGAUACCCGGACUUUUCAAAAAUGCCAACAGAUACUUGUUGGAUUCUUCAAAGUAUUGCAUUUCUCAAGGAACCAACACAGGUGCGACAUCAUUAUAUUUUAGGAGAGUCGGAGCAACAUAGUUCAUUAGUACAACAAAAAGGAAAAAGCAAAGCAGUAAGCACAUAGAGUUUGGUUCAUGAUUGAAAUCACUUGAUAUUAGAAAGUUCAUAUAUUCAGCAUAACUGCAUGUCCAUUUUACAUUACAGUUCUUCUUAUACAAACUAGAAAAGAAAAUCUUGUGUUUACAGAAACUGAAAAUUGAUUUUCUAUAAUGUAAUACAUUUGCAUUGACCACACUACCCUUUUGUCACAGUGUUUUAUAGGUUACGAAGUUUAAGAAAAAAAAGUAAGAUUUUUUAAAUUUGUGAUUUUGAAUAUGACGUGCGAUUUUUGUGGCUAUAUAUAAAAGUAUGAAGUGUUGAUCUUUUUUGAAAUAGAUUAAUAGGAAAUAGUGUUACGUAAAAUGAAAGACAGAAUGUACUAUAUAGUGUGAUAUUGAACCAGAUCUUGAGAUAUAUAGAGUGCAAACUAGCUAGCUGUAAAGUAUCAACUUUGUCCCCAUUAAGUUUUUUCUACUACAAAAAAACUAGAAAAGUGAAAAGUGUUGUGGAAAAUUAUAGAAUGUACCUAACAUGUUUGAAAACAACUAAUCAGGAAUUUCUGAUACAAUUUCUCUGCAAUCUUUAACAUUAAAUAUUGACCAAGUCAAGUCUCUCUGGUGGUGGAAUUAGAAUGUUGAAUUAGCUUUACUUUUAUUUCUUUCUUGUUUAACAUCUUAUAUUUAUAAAUAAAAUAAGGCAACAUGUCCUAUCAUUAUUAUACUAAAUUUAUUUUUCUUCUUGUUUAAGAGCUUAUAUUUCUGUAAAGAAUGUGUAUGCUAUAUUUUUACAUUUUUCACUUCUGAAUAAGUAGUAGUAUAUGAAUCUUGCAUAAUAUAACCUGCUUUUCCAAGAGGCCUUUGUGUAUUAAAUUUUUUGUAUCUAUUAUCUAGAUUAAGCUUCAUCUAGAUAAUGCAAAAACCGACUCUGGUUAGUCUUCGCGGAAAUUUGCCUAAAGACUUAGAAGUCAUCGUCUGAUAGUUGCAGUAAAGUACCCCUUUUUUCUUUGUUGCUUAAUUAAAUACGAGACGGUCCUAUGAAGAAUAAUGGAGUUUCCCUCAUUAACUUAAUGUGAAAACUCAUGUGUAACUAACAAGUUUGAAAACAGCACAAGAGACAACUAAUCAAACACCAACUUGGAAAUUUCUCAUAAUAGCUUUUAGGAACGCUUUGUAUAAUCCAAUGUUUUUUUGAGCUAUUGACUUAGUACAACACAACAGGAAAAGGCUGCAUCCACCUGUGGGGCUCAUGUUGUUCAUGGGUUAUUUAUCAGUCUAGACCUUAGUGGUAGUUAUCUUUAUGGAACUGUAGAGAAUAGCAGAAGAAAAGUAUAAUCUGCUAGCCCAAGAUCAUUAACUAUAAAAGAUCGGAAUAUUCAACUAAAGAAGAGGAAGCUAGAAAGAACUUGUUUAUGGAAUAAGACUCUUUUAUUUGGGUUGUUCUUGAGUUGUAUACAAAUGACUGAGGCCACCCCUAUUUAUACUUAUGUGGGGAUGGUUCUAGACAUUACAAGAUCUAGACUAUUUUCUACAGUGAGUGUUACAUACGGGACCAAUUUCACAUCAUCUUGCGUAACAAACAAUGCAGAAAUAGUUAAUGACCUCGAAAUGAACAACAACAUCUUGAGAAAAUGAGGACAUAAGGGGUAUUAUUUUGUUAAGUCUUCUCCGUCCUCUAAAAAGUCUUGUGGAACACUACAAAAUAUGAAGUAACAAGUUGUUAGAAGUGAGUAGUACUCAUCCAUGGACCACAAGUUGUGUAGUUAGUGAUGCCAAGGUUGUAUUAUUUUUUCUCCCUUUAUGCCAAAGUUGGACAAAAUGAAUAUUGUAUAUAUAAUUGGUACUAUCAAACAAAAUUUGAAGACUUGAGUCUUUCUGGAAAAUGACUUAAAACACUUUGGACAACUUUUUUGCAAUCACAAAUUAGUUAGUGGUAGAUGUGGGGGCAAAUACCCCAUUUUAUUUGUCUGGAUAUGUUUCAUUCUCUUUUUCUAUUCACACUUUUACAGUAAAGAUGAAAGAGAAAAUAAUUUAUGUGUGAACAAAUUAAAUAUACCACAACAUGAUUUUCUUAAAAAUAAAAAAAAUAAAAAAAGUAAUUUUUGUACAAGUAGGGAUAUAUGUGAAGCCACUUUUGUAACAACGGGUAUAUUAACUCUAAAAUGACAAAGUUGAGGGAUAUAUCAUGCCCUUUUCCUUAAUGUGCCUUGCAAUGAUAACAAUAUAAGUUGAAUAGGAUACAGUUCACUACAAUUAUACCACAAAAACAACUUUUUUGAUGUAGUGUCGAUCACUACACCUUUAUCUUGAGUCGAGGGUCUACGAAAACAGCCUCUCUACUACUUUGGUUAUUCUCCAUCUCUUUCAUGUUUGAACUGUAUCAUAUAGAUGGAGUUUCCCUCAUUAACUAAAUGUGAAAAGUCUUGGAAAACAACACAAGAGACAACUAAUCGGAAAUUUCUCAUAAAAUUUCUAAUUAUGCAGGAAAUUAAGACACAUAUCAAACAAAAUUUUGAAUAAAAAGCAAAUAAAAAAAUUAAAAAAAAAUUCCACACGGUAUUAUUGUUCAUUUUUUUCCUCACUUGACUUAGUCAAGAAAUAGUUUCUCUCAUUGGAAAUUUCUUAGAAGUUCAGCAAAAAACAAUUCCACAUAAUGGGACCAAAUUCACAUCAUCUUGCCUAACACACACUGCAGCGAUAGUUAAUGACCUCAAAAUGAACUCAACAUCUAGAGAAAAUUAGGACAUAAAGAGUAUUAUUUCGUUAAGUCUUCUCCGUACUCUAAAAAGUAUUGUGGAACACUACAAUAUAUGAGUAACAAGUUGAUUUUUAAUACCAUUGUUUAAUCUCCUUAAUGUUUUGAGUAAGAUUUGAUUUUUUUUUUUACGCGAUGCGUGACGCCUAGGCAGACGUGCCCUGAGUAAGAUUUGGUUAUUCUAACUUUAUAUUAUAUUUUUUCAUUGAAUUUUUUUGUUGUUUGUACUCUUCCUUCAUAAAGGUCUGUGUAUAUCCUACCUUCUUGAAACUUUACUCGUAAGAUUACAUUAAUCAUUAUGUUAUAGGUAUUCAAUAUACAUAGGACACUUAGAACUAGUAUAUAUAUGUAUGGAUGAUACUGACUGAUUUGUAAGAAGAACACAUCCAUCCUGAACACAAACAAACAAAAAAUGGUCAUGAGUCUGUUUUUCUUUUAUUCAUUUCUAUGUUUUGUGUUUUUAUUAAGUGAAUGCUUUUCUUCAUCCUUUGAUCAUCAUCUUUGCUCUCCCACUGAAGUUUCUGCUUUGCUUCAGUUUAAGCAAUCCUUUAAAAUAUCUGAUUACUCUACUCUUCAGUGUGAUACUUCUUUCCCAAAAACAAAGUCUUGGAAUGAGAGUAGGGAUUGCUGCAGUUGGGAUGGAGUCACUUGUGACUUAUUAAACGGUCAUGUUAUCGGGUUAGACCUUAGCUGUAGUCAGCUUCGUGGAAGUAUUCAUCCCAAUAGCAGCCUCUUCCAACUUCAUCAUCUCCAAACACUAAACCUUGCUUACAAUAACUUUUCAACUUCUUCAAUCUCACAUAACAUUGGCCGAUUGAGGAAUUUGAGGCAUCUCAACCUUUCUAAUUCUUUCUUUAGUGGGAAAAUCCCAACAGAAAUCUCAUUCCUUUCCAAUUUGGUUUCACUUGAUCUUUCUUAUAGUUAUGGAUUACAACUUGAUGAGAGAACAUUUGAAACAAUGCUUCACAACUUUACAAAUCUGGAGGUACUAGCUCUCUUUCUUGGCAACAUCUCGUCACCGAUACCUGUAAGUAUUCAUCCCAAUAGCAGCCUCUUCCAGCUUCAUCAUCUCCACACACUAAACCUUGUUAACAAUUUCUUUUAUCCUUCUUCAAUCCCAAAUGGCAUUGGCCGAUUGAGGAAUUUGAGGCAUCUAAAACUCUAUGAAUUUCAAGGGAAAAUCCCAACAGAAAUCUCACACCUUUCCAAUUUGGUUUCACUUGAUCUUUCUUAUAGUUAUGAAAAAUUACAACUUGAUGAGAGAACAUUUGAAGCAAUGUUUCAGAACUUGACAAAUCUGGAGCUACUUUCUCUCUAUGGUGUCAACAUCUCAUCUCCGAUACCUGUUAAUAUUUCUUCAUCCUUAAGGUACCUGGAUCUUGGAUAUACUAAUCUGCGAGGUGUUCUCACAGAGAGCUUUUUCCUUGUGCCAAACUUGGAAAUACUCAAAUUGAGUGGGAAUGAUCUUGUCAAAGGAGUUUUUCCAAAGAUCCACUGGAGCAACACUCUGUUAAUGGAGUUGGAUAUUUCAUCCACAGGCAUCUCUGGUGAGGUGCCUGAUUCAAUUGGCACCUUCAGUUCCUUGAAUAUCUUGAACCUUGCAGGAUGCCAAUUCUCUGGUUCCAUUCCUGAUUCCAUUAGCAACCAAACACAAAUUAGGGAGUUGAUUUUAUAUCAUAAUCAUUUCACUGGCCAUAUUCCUUCCACAAUCUCUAAAUUGAAGCACCUCACACGUUUGGAUCUUUCAAUUAACUCCUUUUCAGGUGAAAUUCCUGAUGUUUUCUCAAACCUCCAAGAGCUACGUACUUUACAUCUUUCUUAUAACAGCUUCAUCGGUUCGUUUCCCGCUUCAAUUUUAAGUUUGACACAUCUUGAAUACUUAGGAUUGUCGAGUAAUUCCCUAUCUGGCCCACUGCCUAGCAACCAAAGCAUGCUUCAAAAGCUAACCGAACUGAAUUUGUCAUACAACUCACUGAAUGGUACCAUACCAUCUUGGGUGUUUAGCCUACCUUUGCUAUCUUCAGUGUCGCUCCAACAUAACCGAUUCAGAGGACUAGCCGAUGAAGUGAUCAAAACAAACCCAACAUUAAAACAACUGCAAUUAAGCAAUAAUCAACUCAGUGGUUCUUUUCCUCAAUCACUUGUGAAUCUCACAAACCUUGAAACCCUUGGAAUUUCAUCAAAUAACAUCACCAUUGAUGGGGGAAUGAAUAUCACCUUUCAUAGACUAUCAUCUUUAUUCUUAUCAUCUUGUGAACUGAAGGAUUUUCCACACUUCUUGAGAAAUGUAAAGACACUUGUGUACUUGGAUAUUUCUAACAAUAAGAUUUGUGGUCAAAUCCCUAACUGGUUUAGUGGCAUGAGGUGGGACUCGUUGCAGUUCCUAAACCUUUCUCAAAAUUCAUUAACAGGCCACCUACCACAAUUUCGUUACGAUAACCUACAGUAUCUUGAUCUGAAAUUUAACUACCUUCAGGGUCCACUAGCUUUAUCCAUUUGUAACAUGAGGAAACUUAUCUUAUUAGAUUUAUCACACAACUACUUCAGUGACUCAGUUCCACAUUGCUUGGGAAGCAUGCCUAAUCUAACGGUGCUGGACUUAAGAAGGAACAAUUUCACAGGGAGUCUUCCCCCAUUAUGUGCACACAGCACUUCGUUGAGUACCAUUGUCAUAAAUGGUAAUCCUUCCUGCAAAAGUUUUUGGAAACUUCAAGGCAAUGAUCAAAUUAGAUGACGAAGACACAAGAGAGAUCAAGUACAUGAAAUCUACGUUGAAUGCGUUAGUUGUCAGAUCGUAUGAGGAUUCGGUGAGUUUGGUGAUCAAAGGGCAGGAUAUUGAGCUAGAAAGAAUCAGCACAAUUAUGACAACCAUAGAUCUCUCCUGGAAUCGGCUCAUUGGAAAGAUUCCGCAGGAAUUGACAAGAAUGAACUUUCUGGCUUUCUUAAACCUCUCUCAAAACCAUCUUGUCGGACCAAUUCCUCACGGUCUACAAUUCAACACAUUUGAAAAUGACUCGUAUGGUGGCAACCUUGAUCUAUGUGGUCUUCCUUUGACAAAGAAAUGUGGAACGAGUGAUUCAUCGCAUGUUCCUCAACAAUUGGAGUCCGAAGAAGAAGAAGGCGAGUCAUAUUUUUUAGUGGAUUUACAUGGGAAUCAGUAGUCAUAGGCUACAGUUUUGGACUAGUUGUUGGAACUGUCAUGUGGAGUCUCAUGUUUAAAUAUCGUAAGCCAAAAUGGUUUGUGGAAUUUUUUGAUGGACUCAUGCCUCAGAAAAGAAGAAGGCCAAAGAAGAGAGCUCAGAGACGAAGGAUUUAAUGGAGGAUUGAUAGGGCUAAUUUGUCUUUGUUUGAUUUUGUGGACUAAUUAGUGAACUGUUCUGCUUUUCCCUCAUUAACUAAAUGCGAAAAGUCUUGAAAAAACAGCACAAGUAUAGAAGAAGCAUGAAAUAGAAAGAGUAGCAUUGCUUAAUCAUCUAGUACUGCUGUAGCUUAUGGUAAUCACUAGUAAUUGAUGAAUCACACUUCAAGCAUAUCAUGAAUUUGGCUUAAAGACUUAGAAGUCAUCGUCUGCUAGUUAAUACGAGAUGGUCCUAUAUAUGAAGAAUAAUGGAGUUUCCCUCAUUAACUUAAUGUGAAAAGUCUUGUGUAUCUAACAAGUUAGAAUGUUCAAAUACUUUUAACUAUAUAGUUUUAUUAUUAUUUUGUAUUCUUCUGCUUUGCGUAUCAUCGAGUUUCUCUUACAUACUCUGAUCCCUGAUUUUGUAAGAAUAGAACAUCCCGUUAUUUGGUGAAUACAAAAAAAGAGUCUCUUUUUCUUUUAUUCAUUUCUCUGUUUUGUGUUGCUAAUAAGUCUAUGCUUUUCUUCUUCCCUUUGAGCAUCAUUUUUGCUCUCCCAAGUAGACACUUUAAAACAAAUAUAAAACAUUACAUUUUAAAAUAAAAUGACAAAAGUGAAUAAAUUAAUCAGUGGAUUUACGUGGGAAUCAGUGGUCAUAGGCUACAUUUCACUACAAGUCUACGAUAAAAAAUAACUUUAGCAGGCAAUAAAUAUACACAUUAACAAAGAGUGACUAAAACCUUUACUGGUAUUAAUUAAUUGUCAUUAGAUUCAAUGUCUCUAUAGGCUUUAGGGACACUUAUAAAAAGUGCUAAUUGCCUCUAAAAAUACAUGUUUAGUAGCGAUUAAGCUAUAGCCGUUAAUUAAUUACCCCUAAAGAUCAUUUUUGAUGUAGUGUAGAUCACUACACCUUUAUCUUGAGUCGAGAGUCUAUGGAAACAACACAAGAGACAACUAAUCGUCUAGAGAAAAUGAGUACAUAGGGGGUAUUAUUUUAUUAAGUCUUCUCCAUCCUCUAAAAAGUCUUGUGGAACACUACAAAAUAUGAAGUAACAAGUUGCUAGAAGUAAGUAGUACUCAUCCUGUAAUUCAAUUGUUCAUCAGUCCCGAUUCAUCAUAAUCUUUUUUUUUCCUCUAGUCUUAGUGGAAAUUGGCUCAAAGGCUUACAAGUCAUCGUCCGCUAGUUACAAUACUGUAUCACUUUUUUCCUUAGGUGGAAUAGAAUAUUGAUGGAUUUUCCCUCAUUAACUUAAAAAUGUGAAAACUAUAGUGUACCUAACAAGUUUGAAAAUAGCAGAAUUGACAACUAAUUACUAACUUGGAAUAUUGACAUUUUAUGAUUGUAUAAAUUCCAUAGAAAAAUUGCAUACAAAUUUAUUGCAUUCUCAUAAUUGGUUUCUCUAUUAACUGUUCUCAUAAUUGGUUCAAUGACACGUCUUGACAUUUUAUGAUUAUAUAAAUUCCGUAAAAAAAUGCACUAAAAUUUACUGCAUUCAUACAACUUGGUUUCGCUUGAUUAAAGUGUCCCUUCUUGUCUUAUGGAAGAUGAAAUGGAGUAACAUCAUGUCUUUAUUGUUCAUUUAUUAUUAUUUUUUUCUCAAUUGACUUGGUCAUACAAUAGUUUCUCUCUUUGAAAUGUAUUGUGGGAAACAGAAGAAGAGAUGUUGAUGGAAAGUUAGACAAGAAUGACUUAAAAUAGGAGUUCAAAUUUCUAUCUAUCCNNNNNNNNNNNNNNNNNNNNNNNNNNNNNNNNNNNNNNNNNNNNNNNNNNNNNNNNNNNNNNNNNNNNNNNNNNNNNNNNNNNNNNNNNNNNNNNNNNNNNNNNNNNNNNNNNNNNNNNNNNNNNNNNNNNNNNNNNNNNNNNNNNNNNNNNNNNNNNNNNNNNNNNNNNNNNNNNNNNNNNNNNNNNNNNNNNNNNNNNNNNNNNNNNNNNNNNNNNNNNNNNNNNNNNNNNNNNNNNNNNNNNNNNNNNNNNNNNNNNNNNNNNNNNNNNNNNNNNNNNNNNNNNNNNNNNNNNNNNNNNNNNNNNNNNNNNNNNNNNNNNNNNNNNNNNNNNNNNNNNNUAUUAUUAAGUAUGUUAAAAUAUAAUUAUUAAAAGAUAAAUUAAAAUUAUAAAACCACAAAUACCUAAUAAGAUGUACUAUCAAUUAUUGGUUAUAACUUUCUUGCACUUUAAUUUAAAUUAUAGAUUUAUUUAUAUUUUCAAUUAUUUUUUUAUAAGAACUUUUUAUGUAUAAUAUAAAUUUUGUCUACGUUUAAUAUGCUUAGCUAUGGAUAUUAUCUCAUAGAAAGUGUAAGCAUAAAAUUUUCAUGAUAUGUUGGGUGGUGGUGAUUUAUUUUAAAUAUAUAGUUUCACUUUUUAAGAGUUAAAUCAAAUGAACUUUAGCCAACAUUUAAGAUAUAUUUUUCUACCUUAUUGAUAUAACAUGAAAAGAUUAGCAUUUAUAAUGCUACGACUAAACACAAGUAGAAUAAAAUUUCAAAGAGCAACAAUAAAUGGGUGGGCACCAACAAAUUCAACUGGGCACUCUGAGUGGGGGAAUUAUAAUUGUGUUCAAGUGGUAUGUGAUAAAUCGUACAUAUGCUUCGUCAAUCAGCGGGAACCAACAAUCUAGUGAGAAAUUUCUCAAACCAGUCAUUCUUUUACAUGGAGAACCCACACUGGUGUUUGACUCCAAAGACAUAGAAGCGUUUAUCACGGAGGAGAAUUUAAAAUACGCUCUCAUUGCCAAAUUCUCACAUGGAAGGCCUGAACUUCCAGAUUUACCGAAAAUAUUGUCUCAACAAUUAGGAUUUAAGGGUGAAUGUAACAUUGGGUUAUUAGAAAGUCGGCACGUGUUGCUGUGGUUCACUUUAAAGGAAGAUUAUAUUGCAAUCUUUUCAAAAACUAGUAGGUCGAUUAAGUUCGCUGGUACUGUUAUACCAUUCAGAAUCCAAAAGUGGACUCCCUCUUUUAGUCCUAGGGAAGAAACCUCCAUUGCAAUGGCGUGGAUUUCUUUCCCAAGUUUACCCUGUCAAUAUUUUGCUUGUAAUGCUCUGUUUUCUAUGGCUUCGGCAGUUGGACAACCUCUUGAUGUGGAUUGAGCGACCUAUGAUAAAACACGACCUAGUACUGCAAGGGUAAAAGUCGUGGUGGAUCUUUUAAGGAUCCUUCCAAAAAGAAUUAGAGUUCAAUUCAAAGAUUUAGUCACUGGCGAAAUUACAAACGUAUGGCAAAAAAUCAGGUAUGAUUAUGUACCAUAUUAUUGUAAGAGAUGUAAUCAUCAGGGGCAUAGAGAAGCUGAUUGUCGAACUCUCCGAUGGUCAAGUUGAUGCCAUGGUCAGUGAAAAUCAUAUUGAAGGAGAAAAAUUUCAAGGAGAUCUUCAUGAUCAUCUCAAUUCCUAAAAAACUGAUUUAAACAGGCUGGAAAUUGGUGAAAAGGAUGAUGAAGAAACUGUUAAAGAUUUAGAUGUAGGGGCUGAAAAGAGUGGUGUUCAAAAUCAAAAUUUGGUGCGCCAAAAUUCUGGCCAGCGCCAAGGCAAAGCAAUGUUGGACGACUAUUCUUCAGGGAAUCAAGUAUUAUCCUUAAUUCCUCAAACUGGUGAGUCUUCGCGGCAAAGUUGUAAUUCAGUUGAUCAUGUCUUUAAUUAUUCUUUCAUUUUUUUUCCUCACUUGACUUAGUCAAGCAAUAGUUUCUCUCAUUGGAAAUUUCUUACAAGUUUUGCAGAAUUUUUUUCUACAUAAUGGGACCAAUUUCACAUCAUCUUGCGUUAGUAACACACAACAGAGAGAUAGUUAAUGACUUCGAAAUGAAUACAACAUCAGAGAAAAUUAGGACAUAGGGAGUAUUAUUUUGUUAAGUCUUCUCCGUCCUCUUACAAGUCUUGUGGAACAUUACAAAAUAUGAGUAACAAGUUGUUAGAAGUGACUAGUACUCAUCUUGUAAUUCAAUUGUUCAUCAGUCCCGAUUCAUCAUAAUCUUUUUUGUUCCUCUAGUCUUAGUGGAAAUUGGCUCAAAGGCUUACACGUCAUCGUCCGCUAGUUACAAUACUGUAUCACUUUUUUCCUUAGGUGGAAUCGAAUAUUGAUGGAUUUUCCCUCAUUAACUUAAAAAAUGGGAAAACUAUUGUGUACCUAACAAAUUUGAAAAUAGCAGAAGAGACAACUAAUUAUUAACUUGGAAUAUUGACCUUUUAUGAUUGUAUAAAUUGCAUAGAAAAAUUGCAUACAAAUUUUAUUGCAUUCUCAUAAUUGGUUUCUCUAUUAACUGUUCUCAUAAUUGGUUCAAUGGCGCGUCUUGACUUUUAUGAUUUUAUAGAUUUCGUGGAAAAAUUACACUAAAAUUUAUUGCAUUCAUACAAGUUGGUUUUGUUUGAUUAAAGUUUCCCUUCUUGUCAUAGGGAAGAUAAAAUAGAGUAACAUCAUGUCUUUAUUGCUCAUUUAUUUUUAUUUUUUUGUCAAUUGACUUGGUCAUACAAUAGUUUCUCUCUUUGAAAAGUAUUGUGGAAAACAGAAGAAGAGAUGUUGAUGGAAAGUUAGACAAGAAUGACUUAAAAUAGGAGUUCAAAUUCCUACCUAUCCAUCUAUACUAAUGUUAAAUUGCUAUAAUAUUUUCAACUUAAAAACUACUUAAUUUAGUAUAUUUUCUAUAAUUUAUAAUAUGUUAUAUUAUAUUUAUUUAUUUAAUUUAAAAUAUAGCGUAUUACAUGAUUUAGCAUUCACGUGCAAUGCACGUGCAUCAAAGCUAGUACUAUCUUAAAAACUAUGUUACUAGAUUAUUUUAAAAUGUCAACAGGUACAUGUUAGAUUCUUCAAAAGUUAUGUAUUUUUUAAGGAACCAACAUUGGUGCAACAUCAUCACAUUUUUGGAGAGCCUGAGCAACAUAUACAAGAAAAUUGGAAAAAGAAGUGCAAUAAGCAUAUAGAGUUUGGUUCAUGAUUGAAAUUACUUGAUAUUAGAAAGUUAACAUUUGUGAAAAUUGAUGUUGAAGAGUAGUCAAAACUACAGAAAUGGCUAAUAAUGGGCAAAAUGCUCUCUGGAAUUGGCUCACUGGAAAGAUUCCAAGGGAACUGACAAGACUACAAUUCGAGGCAGACUAAAAACUCUCUCUCAAUGUUCUUAUCAGACCGAUUGCUGUUCCUCAUCUAUUGGAGUCCGAAGAAGAGUCGUAUUUUGCUAGUGGAUUUACGUGGGAAUCAGUGGUCAUAGUUGUGGAUUAGUUGUUGCAACUGUCAUGUGGAGCCUCAUGUCUAAAGCUAAAAUGAAUUGUGGAAUUUUUUGAAGCCAUCUAUAAAAGCAAAAGACAGAAACCUGUGAUCCUUCAAUACAAUUAGUCUCUCAUCAGUUUUCUUUGCUUGUGCAUCAUUUUUUUAUUUGAUCACUACACCUUUGUCUUGAGUCGAGGGUUUACGGAAACAGCCUCUGGUUAUUUUCCAUCACUGUGUAUCAUAUAGAUGGAAUUUCCCUCAUUAACUAAAUGUGAAAAGUCUUGAAAAAACAGCACAAGAAUAGAAGAAGCAUGAAAUAGAAAGAGUAGUAUUGCUUAAUCAGCUAGUACUGUAGCUUAUCGUAAUCACUAGUAAUUGAUGAAUCACACUGCAAGCAUAUCAUGAAUUUGGCUUAAAGACUUAGAAGUCAUCGUCUGCAUGUUAAUACGAGACGGUCCUACGAAGAAUAAUGUAAAAAGUCUUGUGUACCUAACAAGUUAGAAUGUUCAAAUACUUUUAACUAAAAUCUAUCUACAGUUUUAUUAGUAUUUUGUAUUCUUCUGCUUUGUGUAUCAUCGAGUUCUCUUACAUACUCUGAUCCCUGAUUUUGUAAGAACAGAACAUCCUAUUAUUUGGUGAAUACAAAAAAAGAGUCUCUUUUUCUUUUAUUCAUUUCUCUCUUUUGUGUUGCUAAUAAGUCUAUGCUUUUCUUCUUUCCUUUGAGCAUCAUUUUUGCUCUCCCAAGUAGGCACUUUAAAACAAAUAUAAAACAUUACAUUUUAAAAUAAAAUGACAAAAGUGAAUAAAUUAAUCAGUGGUCAUAGGCGACAUUUCACUACAAGUGUACGACAAAAACAACUUUUAGCAGCAAUAAACGUACUGUCACGCCCCGAGCCUACACCCUGGGUGUGGCCGGCACUCGGAGACCAUAGCUGGCCCCAAGCGAACACUUGGCCUGGCUUUCUUAACUCAGCGGAAACCUAACUCAACAGAAUAACUCAACUGAUAAAAUCUGGCCAAAAAGGCAACUCGAGUCUCAAAAUAGAAUAUUUAUAUAUAUAUAUAAAUGAGAGACUCAAUACUAACUGACUGACUGUCUAUGAAGCCUCUAUAAUACUGAGAUGGAUGUUGGGACAGACCCCGCAACAUCCUAAUAAAACAAAACUAAGAGAAACAAAAUAACCGAGUCCUCCGGAAAACAAGGAGGCUCACCACAGACUCUGGAGUGCUCAACUGGAUCAACGGCGUGCUGGAUGCUGAUCCUAGGUACCUGUGUCUACAUCAUAAAAAAAUGCAGGUCAACUGGCAUCAGUACAUGGAAUGUACGAGUAUGUGAGCUGGACCGCUAAACAACAACUUAAGCUUGAAAAGGGGUAUAAAAGAGAACUUACCUUGGCUUUAUUCAACUCAUGAAUAACUGAACUCAAUAUAAAGCAAUAAGACACAUGAAAUAUAUAUAGCUUGCAAAACUAUUUAAAACAUGACGUCAAAAUCAUAUUUAUAAUAUCAUAAAAAUACCAUGCUUCCUCUCAAAGUCUACUUGUGCAAUGCAUGAAUGAAGUCCCAUACCCCCAUCCAUACUAAGCAGAACCCCUCGAGGAACCAUGCAAUUUCUACUGUGGGAGUUUCUCUAACCGACAACCACCACUAUGACCUAAGUGGUGACACAACGUCUUGUCCACGCUGCCAGAACUGUUCUAUACUUUGUCGUUAUAUAGAACUACUUAACUUUAACUUAGUGGAUCCACUAGCUUAACUUACGUGAUCAUCUAAAAAGUAUGACCCGUUAAAUCCCAUGUUGGCCACAUGGUUCUUAUGGAGAGUUGAGUUAAUAUGAACUCGUGUCCCCAAUUCGGUGCUCAAGACUACUCCCAAAAAUAUACUUUAGCCCAUAUGUUUUAAAAACAAACUUCUUUCUCUAAUUUGAAUUACUUGCGCAAACUACCCUCUUAAAAGAGGUAAUUGCUCUUGAAAACUCUUUCUAAAAAGAACAUAUCAAAACCAUAUUUUUAUAUGAUCAUUGAUGACUCGGGAAGUCAUACUGCAUAAACAUUGAUGGUAUAUCUAGAGACCAUACUGUUUAAACAUUGAUGACAUACUCGAUUUUUCAUACUAAUCAUGUUUUAGAAACUCUUUCGCAAAACUCAUCUUUUUCUUAAAGGAGAUAGUACUCAAACUGCUCAAAACUCUUUUGGAAAUCUCAAUUUCCUCUCAUCUUAAAUGUGAAAACAUUUAUAAACUUAUUUGGGAAUACUUAGUUCCCUAAUAACUUUUGAGAAAUGAACUUGACUCUAUACUCUUUAAUUAACUUGAAACUCUAUACUCUUUACUUAACUUAAAACUGUAUACUCUUUACUUAAGUUGAAACUUGAGUUUUAAAAUGAAGUUAAAACGUUUAAUAACGACUCUUGAAAAACUUUGAAAACUUGCUUUGACUCGCUUCUUAACUUCUAGACUUGACCCUUAACUUCACUUUGACUUGAUCCUAACUCGCCUUGAAUUGGAUUAUGGAUUCAAGGUAUAUGAUAACAUGUUUAUGGAUGAAUUCUUGACGUUUAGACAUACCUUGGAGUAUUAGAAACAACUAUAAAACAUAGGUACAAUACUAAGGAACAUGCAUGAAAAAGUGGGGAAUGAAUGGGAAAGGUUGGCGUCCUUGGCACUCUGAGAGGCGCGGGGCGCUAGACCACAAAGCUCAGAAGGGCAGUUGGGACGCACUUCUAGGCGCGCCCCCCAAGGAGAGAAGUUCAAAACACUUCUUGGGGCGCUCUGCAAGGCGCGACGCGCCACCCCUUUUCCCCAAAAACUCGACUUUUUUCCUUCAUUUCUCCAACUCUAAACCUUCUCAACCUCAAAGUUUCCAGCCCCAAACACUUAAUAUCAUAAGACCCCUCAACAUACAAUAGAUUUAACCCGGAAACACAACCGGAAGCAUGUCCCAAAUCAACAAGGAACUUCAACAACACAAUCAACAACAUCAACAAUACAACCAACAACUUCAACAACACAACCAAUCUUUUCUCGGAAAUAAAACGAUUUUGGUGUGUGGGGGAAAGAACCAACCCAACACUAUGAACUCACAUACCUAGUAGGGAUCACCCCCGACGAUAUCCACGACGAUCUUUGACGAAACCUUGCUUGAUCUUGUCUUUCUUCUCCUCUUCACUCACAAACCCUCACUCUCACUCUUUUAAAAAGGGAAAACUGAUCUAAAAAUCAGUCUAACACAUUAAUAUAACCAAAAGAAUUGGUUAGGGAAAAGACCAAAAUACCCUUACAAAUUUCCGGGCGGACCUUCCCUGCCAACUGCCCAACUUCCAAAAGGCAUAACUCACUCAUACGAACUCGGAAUCAAGUAAAAUUGGCGGCGAUGAAAAGAUCAUUCCAUGAGCUUCGCAAACAUAACUGGAACUACACCUAACUCAUCAUGAGCUAGGAGUUAUGACUGUUCAAAGUUGGUCAAAACUCACCUUUUUUCUACACUUGUCCAAAUUUCCAGAUUUUUAAAUUCUUUCCAAAAAUGACUAUCUCCAAUUCUAAGCCUCUUCAUAGUUAUUUCAAAUUGCCGGAUGUUACAAAUACACAUUAACAAAGACUGCUAAAACCUUUACUUGUAUUAAUUAAUUAUCAUUGGAUUCAAUGUCUCUAUAGGCUUUAGGGACACUUACAAAAAGUGCUAAUUGCCGCUAAAAAUACAUGUUUAGUAGCGAUUAAGCUAUAGCCGUUAAUUAAUUACCCCUAAAGAUCAUUUUUGAUGUAGUGUAGAUCACUACACCUUUAUCUUGAGUCGAGGGUCCACUACUAGAAAACUGUAAAUUACCUGGGAAUUUCAUUUGGAGAUUAUUUUCGCAGAAAUUUCCUAUGAAUUUUCAUGCGGAAAUAUGAAAUUCCUAAAUUCUAGACUUCUCUACAUGCGAAAAAUAAUUUCCCUGAAAAAUUGGUAGGUAACUUUGGCGCCAUUUUUACAAAAUUAUUACCUAUGGAAUUAUUUGGGAAAAAUAAUUUGCAAGUAGCAUUUUCAUAGGUAAAUUCACAAGUAAUAAAAAAAUUUAUUUUUUUAGUAUGUUUGCAAGAAAAUUCCUAGAAAAACAUAUUUGCAGAUUUAGCUAGAAAUAAUUACUUGAAAAUUUAUUUGCAAAUAAUUUUAUACGUGUUAUUACUUGGGGAUUUUAUUGUUGUGACUUUGGUUGAAGAUUUUUAGAGGAAUGCAUACUUGAAUUUUUUUAAAUACAAUUUAAUUGGAAGUAUUUUCUUGGAAUCUAAGGAUUUUUUUAUUUGGAGUCUUCAAGAAAUAUUUUCUUUAAAAUAUAUUUAACAAAAUCUAAAACUAUAAUAAUAUAAAAAAUAACAAUGACAUUAGAAUGAAUUUUAUUGUUAAAUAUAUACUCUACUUUUAGAUUACAUAAAUUAUUAUACAAUAAUAUCAAUCUAACACUAUAUUGGAACAUUACCACAAAUGUCAUGAACAAUAUUUUUAACUUAUAUAUAGUUACAAUAUUUAGUCCUAAAAACCAAUGAUGCGAUAUUUUUUUUUUGAAAGAUACAAAAGCAUUAAAAAUUAUAUGGCUAGUUAUUUAUCCUUAGAAAAAUAACUAUCAUAAAUAUAUUUAUUUUUGAUUAGAUAUUACUUUAUAUUAAAUUUCGUAUUAUUGAAUAAGUCAAUCACUGUUUAAGUAGAGUAAAAUUAAAUUAUAUACAUUAUUAAUGUGAAUUUUAAUCAACCCCUAGUUUAUAGAAUUAUAUUAAAUGAAAAAUAAAUAAAAUUUUAACUAUAUAUCAAAUUUAUAUUUUUUUUUUCUUACAAGCAUUAAAUAUGAUAUAAUUUCUCUAUAGUAAGUUAUUAAAUGUUAUUUAUUUGCAAAUAUUUAUUAUUAAGUAUGUUAAAAUAUAAUUAUUAAAAGAUAAAUUAAAAUUAUAAAACCACAAAUACCUAAUAAGAUGUACUAUCAAUUAUUGGUUAUAACUUUCUUGCACUUUAAUUUAAAUUAUAGAUUUAUUUAUAUUUUCAAUUAUUUUUUUAUAAGAACUUUUUAUGUAUAAUAUAAAUUUUGUCUACGUUUAAUAUGCUUAGCUAUGGAUAUUAUCUCAUAGAAAGUGUAAGCAUAAAAUUUUCAUGAUAUGUUGGGUGGUGGUGAUUUAAUUUAAAUAUAUAGUUUCACUUUUUAAGAGUUAAAUCAAAUGAACUUUAGCCAACAUUUAAGAUAUAUUUUUUACCUUAUUGAUAUGACAUGAAAAGAUUAGCAUUUAUAAUGCUACGACUAAUUAAACACAAGUAAAAUAAAAUUUCAUGUUGGUAAGUUUUAAUGAAAAAAAUCAAUUAAAUAGAUUGAAGACUUUGUAAGUGAAACACUCAUAGUUGAGUGACUUUGUAAGUGAAACACUCAUAGUUAAGUGACUUUUGAGUUAAAAAUCAAAGUUGAGUGACUUUCUGAGAAAAAAACUCAUAGUUGAGUGACUUUGAAGUUAAAAACCAAAGUUGAGUGUCUUUCUAAGAAAAUAGUACAUAGUUGAAUGACCUUAUGAGAUAUUAAAAAUUUAGACACAUAUCAAACAAAAUUUUGAAUUAAAAGCAAAUAAAAGAAUAAAAAUAAAAAUUCCACACGGUAUUAUUGUUCAUUUUUUCCUCACUUGACUUAGUCAAGAAAUAGUUUCUCUUAGAAGUUCUGCAUAAUUUUUUUCUACAUAAUGGGACCAAUUUCACAUCAUCUUAUGUAACACACUGCAGAGAUUGCUAAUAACCUCCAAAUGAACACAACAUCUAGAGAAAAUGAGGGCAUAUGGAGUAUUAUUUUGUUAAGUCUCCUCCGUCCUCUAACAAGUCUUGUAGAACACUACAAAAUAUGAGUAACAAGUUGUUAGAAGUGAGUAGUACUCUUCUUGUGAUUCAAUUGUUCAACAAUCUCGAUUUAUCAUAAUCUUUUUCCCCUUCUAGUCUGUUGUGAUCAUGGAUAGCCGAGAAGUUAGACAACUUGUUGGGCCCGAGGCUAAACCACGAAGUGGAUAAGACAGCCCAACAAUAGGUUUGCUUGGAAUCCAGGUUGAGUACAAAUAAAAGGGUAAUCACUGUGGUUUUGGGAGUUUAUGCAGAUUGUGAAAGAAAUUGUUUGUUCCUCCCAUCUCUUUCUAGAGUCUAAGCUUUUCAUCCACAUUUUUAUCUCUAUCUUUAGUUACUUGUUAUUUAAGUAUUUUCCUUUGUAAUUCUAUAGUUGAAGUGUUGCCGUCGUGAUUUGUCUAUCAGUGAUUACAUAUUACUUGAGUAUUUGAGUUGCGAAUUUAGAUUCGUUACAUAGUCUUUGAGGAAAUUGGCUUAAAGGUUUACAAGUCAUCGUCCGCUAGUUACAUUACUACAUCCUUUAUUUCCUUAGGUGGAAUGGAAUAUUGAUGGAUUUUCCCUUGUUAACUAAAUGUGAAAACUAUUGUGUACCUAACAAGUUUGAAAAUAGCAGAAGAGACAACUAAUCACUAACUCAGAAUAUUGACCUUUUAUGAUGGUAUAGAUUCCAUGGAGCUUGGUUUCCUCUAUUCCAAACGUACCAUAACUGUUGUCAUAAUUGGUGUCCCUUCUUGUCACAUGGAAGAUGAAAUGGAGUAACAUCAUGUCUUUAUUGCUCAUUUAUUUUUAUUUUUCUCAAUUGACUUGGUUAUACAAUAGUUUCUCUCUUUGAAAAGUAUUGUGGAAAACAGAAGAAGAGAUGUUGAUGGAAAGCUAGACAAGAAUGACUUAAAAUAGGAGUUCAAAUUUCUACCUAUCCAUCUAUACUAAUGUUAAAUUGCUAUAAUAUUUUCAACUUAAAACACUUAAUUUAGUAUAUUUUUUAUAAUUUAUAAUAUGUUAUAUUAUAUUUAUUUAUUUAAUUUAAAAUAUAGUGUACUACAUGAUUUAGCAUUCAUGUGCAAUGCACGUGCAACAAACCUAGUACUAUCUUAAAAACUAUGUUACUUAGAUUAUUUAAAAAUGUCAACAGGUACGUGUUAGAUUCUUCAAAAGUUAUGUAUUUUUUAAGAAAUCAACAUUGGUGCAACAUCAUCAUCUUUUUGGAGAGCCUGAGCAACAUAGUUCAUUUAUACAAGAAAAUUGGAAAAAGAAGUGCAAUAAGCAUAUAGAAGAAGCAUGAAAUAGAAAGAGUAGCAUUGCUUAAUCAGCUAGUACUGUAGCUUAUCGUAAUCACUAGUAAUUGAUGAAUCACACUUGAAGCAUAUCAUGAAUUUGGGUUAAAGACUUAGAAGUCAUUGUCUGCUAGUUAAUACGAGACGGUCCUAUAUAUGAAGAAUAAUGGAGUUUCCCUCAUUUUUGCUCUCCCAAGUAGGCACUUUAACAAUUCAAAAUUUAAACAAAUAAAAACUCGAUUUUACCUUUGACACACGUGAAUUGCACGCAUUUUACCAAGUAGGAUUUGAGUGUUUAUUUAUCAAGUAGGAUUCGAUCUUGGCUCACUUUGGCAACUCAAUUUAUCUCACAACGAUCCCAGAGAAGAUAUCCCAACGGAACUGGGACAAAUGAAUACGCUUUUAAGUUCUAGAUUUCUCAUGGAAUUGGCUCACUUGAAAGACUCCAAGGGAACUGACAAGACUAAAAAAUUUGCCAGAUUUUGUUGGUAUAAUAUACCACAAAUAUAAAACAUUAUAUUUUAAAAUAAAAUGACAAAAGUGAAUAAAUUAAUCAGUGAAUUUACGUGGGAAUCAGUGGCCAUAGGCUACAUUUCACUACAAGUCUACGACAAAAACAACUUUUAGCAGCAAUAAAUAUACACAUUAACAAAGAGUGCUAAAAUUUUACUGGUAUUAAUUAAUUGUCAUUGGAUUCAAUGUCUCUAUAGGCUUUAGGGACACUUACAAAAAGUGUUAAUUGCCGCUAAAAAUACAUAUUUAGUAGCGAUUAAGCUAUAGCCAUUAAUUAAUUACCCCUAAAGAUCAUUUUUGAUGUAGUGUAGAUCACUACACCUUUAUCUUGAGUCGAGGGUCCACUACUAGAAAACUGUAAAUUACCUGGAAAUUUCAUUUGGGAAUUAUUUUCGCAGAAAUUUCCUAUGAAUUUUCAUGCGGAAAUAUGAAAUUCCUAAAUUCUAGACUUCUCUACAUGCGAAAAAUAAUUUCCCAGAAAAAUUGGAAGAUAACUUUAGCGCCAUUUUUACAAAAUUAUUACCUGGGGAAUUAUUUGGGAAAAAUAAUUUGCAAGUAGCAUUUUCAUAGGUAAAUUCGCAANNNNNNNNNNNNNNNNNNNNNNNNNNNNNNNNNNNNNNNNNNNNNNNNNNNNNNNNNNNNNNNNNNNNNNNNNNNNNNNNNNNNNNNNNNNNNNNNNNNNNNNNNNNNNNNNNNNNNNNNNNNNNNNNNNNNNNNNNNNNNNNNNNNNNNNNNNNNNNNNNNNNNNNNNNNNNNNNNNNNNNNNNNNNNNNNNNNNNNNNNNNNNNNNNNNNNNNNNNNNNNNNNNNNNNNNNNNNNNNNNNNNNNNNNNNNNNNNNNNNNNNNNNNNNNNNNNNNNNNNNNNNNNNNNNNNNNNNNNNNNNNNNNNNNNNNNNNNNNNNNNNNNNNNNNNNNNNNNNNNNNNNNNNNNNNNNNNNNNNNNNNNNNNNNNNNNNNNNNNNNNNNNNNNNNNNNNNNNNNNNNNNNNNNNNNNNNNNNNNNNNNNNNNNNNNNNNNNNNNNNNNNNNNNNNNNNNNNNNNNNNNNNNNNNNNNNNNNNNNNNNNNNNNNNNNNNNNNNNNNNNNNNNNNNNNNNNNNNNNNNNNNNNNNNNNNNNNNNNNNNNNNNNNNNNNNNNNNNNNNNNNNNNNNNNNNNNNNNNNNNNNNNNNNNNNNNNNNNNNNNNNNNNNNNNNNNNNNNNNNNNNNNNNNNNNNNNNNNNNNNNNNNNNNNNNNNNNNNNNNNNNNNNNNNNNNNNNNNNNNNNNNNNNNNNNNNNNNNNNNNNNNNNNNNNNNNNNNNNNNNNNNNNNNNNNNNNNNNNNNNNNNNNNNNNNNNNNNNNNNNNNNNNNNNNNNNNNNNNNNNNNNNNNNNNNNNNNNNNNNNNNNNNNNNNNNNNNNNNNNNNNNNNNNNNNNNNNNNUUUUCCUCACUUGACUUAGUCAAGAAAUAGUUUCUCUCAUUGGAAAUUUCUUAGAAGUUCUGCAAAAAAAAUUUCCACAUAAUGGGGCCAACUUCACAUCAUCCUGCCUAACACACACUGAAGCGAUAGAUAAUGACCUCGAAAUAAACUCAACAUCUAGAGAAAAUUAGGACAUAGAGUCUUAUUUUGUUAAGUUUUCUCCGUCCUCUAGAAAGUCUUGUGAAACACUACAAAAUAUGAGUAACAAGUUGUUAGAAGUGAGUAGUACUCAUCCAUGGACCACAAGUUGCGUAGUUAGUGAUGCGAAAGUGGUACUAUCUACCAACACUGACUUAAAGACUUGAGUUAACACUUGGGACAACUCUUUUUGCAACCACAAAUUAGUUAGUACCCCAUUUUAUACCUCAUAGUCUCAUGCAUAGAUAAGUCAACCACGUUACUUUAUCAAAUAGUGUUUAGUUAAUUGCUCGUUGUAAUAAUUAAGNNNNNNNNNNNNNNNNNNNNNNNNNNNNNNNNNNNNNNNNNNNNNNNNNNNNNNNNNNNNNNNNNNNNNNNNNNNNNNNNNNNNNNNNNNNNNNNNNNNNNNNNNNNNNNNNNNNNNNNNNNNNNNNNNNNNNNNNNNNNNNNNNNNNNNNNNNNNNNNNNNNNNNNNNNNNNNNNNNNNNNNNNNNNNNNNNNNNNNNNNNNGUUCGAGGUUCUUAUUAAUAUUCUAGGAAGGUUUUAAACGCAUCUAGAAUAUCCACUAAUGUGGUUAUCCGACGAUUAAUUUUUUUGGCUAAAAUAAUUUAACUUAGCUUGAAUUGCAAAAUUGAACUAUUAUAUAGUUGGGACCAUUUUAAGAGAAAAAUAUCAAAAUACUAAAAAAUAAAUUUAUCCAAGUGAAAUAUUUUGUAAACUUAUUUAUUUUAUUUAUUUAUUUAUUUUUAGGUCAAGUAGGAGAUGAAUAGUUUAGUUUAAAUAAUUAACUCAAAAUGGGUGUCUUUUGGGGGGUUUGAAUGUUUGAAACCUUAAAAUCAAUAUCAAUUAUUAACAAAUAAAUAAACACAAUAAAAUAAAGAGAGAGAAUUAGGCCCAAGUCUGGAUUUCCUGUCCGUCUGGGCCAGUACUUGGGCCUAAUUUCAGUUUUGGGCCCUUGGCCCAUUUAAGUCAUUUGUACCUGUCCUAUUCUAACAUAAUAGAACUAUUUUCCAUUUGGGGGCCUUAGGCCCAAUUCUUCCACCUGUUCAAACUAGCACAAUAAUUGCAAAUAAAAUGACAAGGGCUUAGGCCCAAAAAAUAACAAAAUACAACUUCUUAAAGAAGAGUGGGCCUCUUUAAGGCCAUUUUCUCAUUUUUCGUAUACACUAGGUGUAUACUAGUGUAUACAAUCUCGUAUCAGCUCCAAACCCUGUUCAUCAAAUUUUUGGGACCCCUCCUUCAAUUGCUAUGGUUGGUUGACUCGAUAAAGGAUUUUUGGGGCACUCGUGGCCCCCUUUGGAAUGCAAAGGUUGAGUCCAUGAGGACUUGGGCAUAUUUCACAUGAAAAGACACAUAAAUAAGAAUUAGCACCUUAUUAUAGGUUGAUGAAAGUAAUUAUGAAUUGAUUAAUAUUAGACUCAAACUUAAACAAGUUCCAAUAGAGUAGUAAAUCCACGGUGAUUAUGCAAACGAAGCCUUAUCACAUUACUCAACUAACAUGAAAGACAUGGUAACCUCUCAAUUAAUAUAAACUCAAGUUUCCUUUCAAAAAGUAUGAAAAUAAAAAAAAAGUAAAGCAUUAGAAGGAGACAGUAGCUAUGAUGUCAAAUAAUUAAGUGGCUAAAAUUCUAAAGAAAAAUUAUUCUGAUUAUGAAUCUACACCCAGAUGUAGCAUCUAUGAUAAACACACUUGUCACAUAAUUAAAUAUAGUCCACACAUUUCAAAAAUAAUAAUAAAUAAAUAAAUUAGGAGAAUACUUCAACUUUGCAUAUAUCUAAAAAAAAAACAAAGGAAGAGAAAAUCAAUAAGGAUUAAAUCGACUAAUACAUAGACUCUUUUUUUUAAAAAAUAAAAUAAAAUAAAAUAAAGAAAUAAGAUAAAAAUAAAUAAAUAAAUAAACAAGAGCUAAUUGAUUACAUACAAACGAAACGAAACGGUUAACAUGCUAGACUCAGUUUAAGCUUGACUAAAAAAUUUCUGAAUAGACGAUUUACCACAGAUUUAGUGCAUAUUGCAAAACCAAUGAGGUAGGACACUUUAUCCAUGGACAAACCAACAAAUAUUGCUUAUGAAAUAUAGCAAGAGAUCACAUGAUUUGCAGCCAUGAAUAGGAGGGAGCUUGGGGAUUUGCAACUUUAUUAAAAAGGGGGAAAGGAGGGAAGAAUAUACGUCAUUUAACAGACAAGAUUAGACAUUCAAAACAUAAUUAUUAAGACUACUUCAUUAUUUUGUUUCCCACCCGGUGUCCGGAGCCCACUUUGGAGUUCCGACUAAAUUCGGAUCGCGCUUUGCAGGGCCCAUUCGGGGGUGGCGCUCCCAACAAAAUUUUCUCCAUACCCAGGGCUCGAACCCGAGAUCUCUGGUUAAGGGUGAAGCACUCCCACCAGUGCACCACUACCCAUGUUGGUACCGUAUCCCUUAUUUCCUUAGGUGGAAUGGAAUAUUGAUGGAUUUUCCCUCAUUAGCUUAAUGUGAUCGAAAACUAUUGUGUACCUAACAAGUUUGAAAAUAGCAGAAGAGACAACUAAUCACUAACUCAGAAUAUUGAUCUUUUAUAAUUCUAUAAUUCCGUGGAAAAAUUGCAUCAAAAUUUAAUGUAAUUGUACAACUUGGUUUCCUCUAUUCUGAAUGUACACUAAUUGUUCUCAUAAUUGGUUCAAUGACGUGUCUUAACCUUUUAUGAUUAUAUAAAUUCUGUGGAAAAAUUGCACUAAAAUCCUCAAUUGACUUGGUCAUAUAAUAGUUUCCCUCUUUGAAAAAGUAUUGUGAAAAACAGAAGAAGAGAUGUUGAUGGAAAGUUGGACAAAAUCAUCAUAUAUCUAUCAUUUUGGCCUUAUACUAAAUUAUAUAUUAUUAUAUUUAUAUAUUAUUAAAAGUGGAAAGCUCUUGUCUUCAAAGUUGAUUUACCAUUUUGCUCUUAUAUUAAAUUAAUUUUUUUAUAAAAUAAUUUUUCUUUACACCAUAAUUAAAAAAAAUCAAUUAAAUUAGUUUUCAAUANNNNNNNNNNNNNNNNNNNNNNNNNNNNNNNNNNNNNNNNNNNNNNNNNNNNNNNNNNNNNNNNNNNNNNNNNNNNNNNNNNNNNNNNNNNNNNNNNNNNNNNNNNNNNNNNNNNNNNNNNNNNNNNNNNNNNNNNNNNNNNNNNNNNNNNNNNNNNNNNNNNNNNNNNNNNNNNNNNNNNNNNNNNNNNNNNNNNNNNNNNNNNNNNNNNNNNNNNNNNNNNNNNNNNNNNNNNNNNNNNNNNNNNNNNNNNNNNNNNNNNNNNNNNNNNNNNNNNNNNNNNNNNNNNNNNNNNNNNNNNNNNNNNNNNNNNNNNNNNNNNNNNNNNNNNNNNNNNNNNNNNNNNNNNNNNNNNNNNNNNNNNNNNNNNNNNNNNNNNNNNNNNNNNNNNNNNNUCUUUGCAUUUAAUAAUUAUAAUAACCAUAACUUUAUAUGAAACGUUGGUGGUUCAAUUAUUUAAUUGUUACGUUAACCAAUGGCCAACUUCUCAUUGCUACAGUAAGUACAAAGAAGUUGAAAAGUUGAAUUGAAUAUUAAUUAGUAAAUUAAUUCAUUAGUAAAUAAAUGAAAGGAAAUUUCAAAGGUCUAGGAAAAAAUAUUAUAUAAAGGCUAAACGAGUUCACUAAUUUCCCAUCUGCUCUUUGUAACUUUUGAGAUUGAAUGCAAAUCAUUUUAACUUCGAUUUCAUUUUUUCCCUUUUCUUUUUAUAUCCUUUGAUAGUUUGCAUAUAUAAAAGAAGAGAUGGGAGUAUGUAAGAUUGUUUUUUAUGCCUUCUAAUAGUUUGCAUAAAAGAAGAGAUGAGAAGUAUGUAAGAUUAUUGAUGCCAAAUUAGAGUAGCUGUCAUAUUCAAUUUUUACUACUCUUGAAUUAUCAGCUAUAAUAUAAUCUUCCGAGAAAUUAUGAUCAAAAUCACCAUCUCUCCUCCCUUUCAACUAUCAGUAUUACACCGUUUAUACUAGUUUUGUAAAAAAUUUAAAACAUACUAUUUUGGUGAAUUGAUUUAAACAAUGGCUUAUUUUGGUCAAAAUUUUGAUUUCUCCGGAAGGUUGAUCAUAGUUGACAUAAAUGAAUUCAUUGUUAUAGUAUAAUCUGAUUACAAUUCUUUAAGAUACAAAGAUAUUAUACUCUCUACAAAUAAGUUAUUUCAUGAUAUAAAGAAAUGGUGUUAUUUGAAUGCGUUGAUUGAUGCUCCUCUUCACGUUGAUUACUGGCUAUAACCUUUUAUCAUCAUUGCAAUAUUCAACUUUAACUUGAAUUAUUACUUGAAAAGAACUCAUUAAUCUUUUUUGUGUAUGCAUGGCAUAUUUGGUUAAUUAGAAUUACAAUACUUUGAUUUCACAUGUAUUGGAAUUUCAUUUGUUUCCAUGCACAAUUGUUAAGCUUAUAACAAUUAGCUUUAAAUUUUUAAUUAGCAUAUAUUAUUUGCGUUUUGUAAAUUUUAACGAGAAUUGUUUUAAAUAUCAUAUCUAAGUUUUUUGUUUAAAUAUUUCAGAUUCAUUGUUUUGCUAUUUGGUGUGAGCAUCACAAUUCAUUAUUCAAUUAUUAUGUCAUGAAAUUUAUUACUUAAUGUUAUUAGGUGCAAAUAUUUUGCUUAUAAAGAAGUAUUAGUAUUAAAUAUUUGCACCUAAUAACAUUAAGUAAUAAAUUUCAUGACAUAAUAAUUGAAUAAUGAAUUGUGAUGCUCACACCAAAUAGCAAAACAAUGAAUCUGAAAUAUUUAAACAAAAAACUUAGAUAUGAUAUUUAAAAAAUCAUUUAGUGCUCAACGAAGAAGUCAUUCAAAUUGGAUGAGUGUUACAUUCAUCAAUUUUAGUUUGUACUUUUUUUUGUUAUUGAUUACACUAUGGUUUUAAUAUAACUUAUAUCGUGUAUACUACUUGCUUGAGACACACGUGCAACGUACGUGUUCAGAAACUAGUAUAUCUAUAAAAGCAAACGACAGAAAACUGUGAUCCUUCAAUACAAUAAGUUGAUUACUCAGUUUUCUUUGCUUAUGCAUCAUUUUUUAAUUUGAUCACUACACCUUUAUCCUGAGUUGAGGGUCUACGAAAACAGCCUCUCACUACACCUCUUCAUAUUUGAACGGUAUCAUAUAGAUGAAAUUUCCCUCAUUAACUUAAUGUGAAAAGUCUUUUGAAAAACAACUAAUCGGAAAUUAUUUCUCAUAAAAUUUCUCUACAGGUGUAGUGAUCUUCACCAAGUUAUUCAAAACAUAUAGGAAAUUAAGACGAGUUAAUACAUCAGAUGGUCACUCAACUAUGCACUAUUUUCUCAGAAAGUCACUCAACUUUGGUUUUAAACUUAAAAGUCACUCAACUAUGAGUUUUUUUCUCAGAAAGUCACUCAAAAAUACAUGUUUAGUAGCGAUUAAGCUAUAGCCGUUAAUUAAUUACCUCUAAAGAUCAUUUUUGAUGUAGUGUAGAUCACUACAUCUUUAUCUUGAGUCGAGGGUGCACUACUAGAAAACUGUAAAUUACCUGGGAAUUUCAUUUGGGGAUUAUUUUUGCAGAAAUUUUCUAUGAAUUUUCAUGCGGAAAUAUGAAAUUCCUAAAUCUAGACUUCUCUACAUGCGAAAAAUAAUUUCCCAGAAAAAUUGGUAGGUAACUUUUGCGCCAUUUUUACAAAAUUAUUACCUGGAGAAUUAUUUGGGAAAAAUAAUUUCCAAGUAGCAUUUUCAUAGGUAAAUUUGCAAGUAUUAAAAAAUUAAUUUUUUAGUAUGUUUGCAAGAAAAUUCCUAGAAAAACCUAUUUGCAGAUUUAGCUAAAAAUAAUUACUUGAAAAUUUAUUUGCAAAUAAUUUUAUACGUGUUAUUACCUGGGGAUUGAUGUUCUACAAAUUUUGUUGGGAAUUUAUUUCUUGAGGAUUUACUUGGGAAUUUUUCUUACUUGGAGAAUUACUUGGGGAUUUUAUUGUUGCGAAUUUGGUUGAAGAUUUGUAUAGGAAUGCAUACUUGAAUUUUUUUAAAUACAAUUUAAUUGGAAGUAUUUUCUUGGAAUCUAAGGAUUUUUUUAUUUGGAGUCUUCAAGAAAUAUUUCUUUAAAAUAUAUUUAACAAAAUCUAAAACUAUAAUAAUAUAAAAAUAACAAUGACAUUAGAAAGAAUUUUAUUGUUAAAUAUAUACUCUACUUUUAGAUUAAAUAAAUUAUUAUACAAUAAUAUUAAUCUAACACUAUAUUGGAACAUUACCACAAAUGUCAUGAACAAUAUUUUUAACUUAUAUAUAGUUACAAUAUUUAGUCCUAAAAACCAAUGAUGCGAUUUUAUUUUUUUGAAAGAUACAAAGCAUUAAAAUUAUAUGGCUAGUUAUUUAUCCUUAGAAAAAUAACUAUCAUAAAUAUAUUUAUUUUUUAUUAGAUAUUACUUUAUAUUAAAUUUCGUAUUUUUGAAUAAGUCAAUCACUGUUUAAGUAGAGUAAAAUUAAAUUAUAUACAUUAUUAAUGUGAAUUUUAAUCAACCCCUAGUUGAUAGAAUUAUAUUAAAUGAAAAAUACAUAAUUUUUAACUAUAUAUCAAAUUUAUAUAUAAUUUUUUCUUACAAGCAUUAAAUAUGAUAUAAUUUCUCUAUAGUAAGUUGUUAAAUGUUAUUUAUUUGCAAAUAUUUAUUAUUAAGUAUGUUAAAAUAUAAUUAUUAAAAAAGGUAAAUUAAAAUUAUAAAACCACAAAUACCUAAUAAGAUGUACUAUCAAUUAUUGGUUAUAACUUUCUUGCACUUUAAUUUAACUUAUAGAUUUAUUUAUAUUUUCAAUUAUUUAUUUAUACGAACUUUGUAUGUAUAAUAUAAAUUUUGUCUACAUUUAAUAUGCUUAGCUAUGGAUAUUAUCUCAUAGAAAGUGUAAGCAUAAAAUUUUCAUGAUAUGUUGGGUGGUGGUGAUUUAUUUUAAAUAUAUAGUUUCACUUUUUAAGAGUUAAAUCAAAUAAACUUUAGCCAAGAAAUAGUGUUUAGUUAACUUUUUGUUUUAUUUAAUAUGGAGGUCGUUGUAAUAAUUAAGAAAUAAAAUAGUGUUUAGAUAAUUAUAGCAUUCUUUCUUACAUGACUACUUAUUUUAUUGACUUAUUUAUAUAUUGACGAUCAUCAUGAACCCAUAUUAUUAUUUUUACCUUUUUAUUCCUAUUACUAUUUUUAUUUAUUCAUUAUUGAAAUAUUCUAAAGCCUACCAAACGGUAAAACCUUUUGCAUUAUGCAAAAUAAAUUGUUGGGUGUUAAAAAAAGAUCAAAUUGUUUUUGGUGUAUUCUUUGAAUUACAAGCACUGCAACAAACAACUACAACAAAAAACAACUUUUAGCGGCAAUAAAUAUACACAUUAUUAAAGAGUGUUAAAGAUUUUGCCGGUAUUUUAAUAUUAUUAUAUCAACUUCUGAAAUUCAGCACAAUUAUUUCAAUAUCAUUGUAUAAUCUUAUUAAUGUUUUGAGUAAGAUUUGAUUAUUCUAACUUUAUAUUAUAUUUUUUCAUUGAAAAAUUUUGUUGUUUGUAUUCUUACUUUAAAGGUCUGCGUACAUCCUACCUUCUUGAAACUUUACUCGUAGGAUUACAUUAAUAAGUAUGUUAUAGGUAUUCAAUUUACAUAGGACACUUAGAAAGUAGUAUAUAUCUGUGUGGAUAAGACUGAUUGAUUUGUAAGAAGAACACAUCCAUCCUGUUAUUUGGUGAAAUCAAACAAACAAAAAAUGGCCGUGAGUCUGUUUUUCUUUUAUUCAUUUCUCUGUUUUGUGUUUUUAAUAAGUGAAUGCUUUUCUUCAUCCUUUGAUCAUCAUCUUUGCUCUCCCACUGAAGCUUCCUCUUUGCUUCAGUUCAAACAAUCCUUUCAAAUUAUGUCCAAAGAGUACUUUAGUUAUUGGUCUGAUGGAGAUUCUUUCCCGAAAACAAAGUCUUGGAAUGAGAGUAGGGAUUGCUGCAGUUGGGAUGGAGUCACUUGUGACUUAUUAAACGGUCAUGUUAUCGGGUUAGACCUUAGUAGUAGUCUGCUUUGUGGAAGUAUUCAUCCCAAUAGCAGCCUCUUCCAACUUCAUCAUCUCCAAACACUAAACCUUUAUAACAACCUCUUCAAUUAUUCUUCAAUCCCACAUAGCAUUGGCCAAUUGACGAAUUUGAGGCAUCUCAACCUUUCUCAUUCUCACUUUGGUGGGAAAAUCCCAACAGAAAACUCAUACCUUUCUAAUUUGGUUUUACUUGAUCUUUCUGUGUAUGGAUUACAACUUGAUGAGAGAACAUUUGAAACAAUGCUUCACAACUUCACAAAUCUGGAGGUACUAGCUCUCUCUCUUGGCGACAUCUCAUCACUGAUACCUGUAAGUAUUCAUCCCAAUAGCAGCCUCUUCCAGCUUCAUCAUCUCCACACACUUAACCUUGAUAACAAUUACUUUUAUCCUUCUUCGAUCCCAAAUGGCAUUGGCCGAUUGAGGAAUUUGAGGCAUCUAAAACUCUCUGGCUUUGAUGGGAAAAUCCCAACAGAAAUCUCAUACCUUUCCAAUUUGGUUUCACUUGAUCUUUCUUAUAGUUAUAAAUUCUUACAACUUGAUGAGAUAACAUUUGAAGCAAUGCUUCACAACUUCACAAAUCUGGAGAUACUUUCUCUCUGGUAUGUCAACAUCUCAUCUCCGAUACCUGUGAAUAUUUCUUCUUCCUUAAGAUAUGUGGAUCUUGCACAUACUAAUCUGCGAGGUGUUCUCACAGAGAGCUUUUUCCUUGUGCCAAACUUGGAAAGCCUCAAAUUGAGUGGGAAUGAUCUUCUCAAAGGAGUUUUUCCAAAGAUCCACCGGAGCAACACUCUGUUAAUGGAGUUGGAUAUUUCAUCCACAGGCAUCUCCGGUGAGCUGCCUGAUUCAAUUGGCACCUUUAGUUCAUUGAAUAUCUUGAACCUCGGAGGAUGUCAAUUCUCUGGUUCCAUUCCCGAUUCCAUAGGCAACCUAACCCAAAUUACGGAGUUGGCUUUGUCUUAUAAUCAUUUGGGAUAAUACAUAUAUUUGACCUUAAACUUGGCUUCAAAUUUUAACUUUGACCUCCAACUUUCAUAGUGCACAAACAAGCACUUUAACUAUCCAAUCUUUUAAUAAAUAAACACGUGAUUUUUGGAGCCAAGAGCGUGAAAUGCAAACGCUGCCACGUGUAUUAGAAAUUCCUGAUGUUUUCUCUAACCUCAAAGAGCUACGUACUUUACAUCUUUCUAAUAACAGCUUCAUCGGUUCGUUUCCCUCUUCAAUUUUAAGUUUGACACAUCUUGAAUACUUAGGAUUGACGAAUAAUUCCCUAUCUGGCCCACUGCCUAGCAACCAAAGCAUGCUUCAAAAGCUAACCGAACUGAAUUUGUCAUACAACUCACUGAAUGGUACCAUACCUUCUUGGGUGUUUAGCCUACCUUUGCUAUCUUCAGUAUCGCUCCAACAUAACCGAUUCAGAGGACUAGCCGAUGAAGUGAUCAAAACAAACCCAACAUUAAAAGAACUGCAUUUAAGCAAUAAUCACCUCAGUGGUUCUUUUCCUCAAUCACUUGUGAAUCUCACAAACCUUGAAACCCUUGGAAUUUCAUCAAAUAACAUCACCAUUGAUGAGGGUAUGAAUAUCACCUUUCUUAGCCUAUCAUCUUUAUUCUUAUCAUCUUGUCAACUGAAGGAUUUUCCACACUUCUUGAGAAAUGUAAAGACACUUCAGGUCUUGGAUAUUUCUAACAAUAAGAUUUGUGGUCAAAUCCCUAACUGGUUUAGCGGCAUGACGUGGGACUCAUUGCAGUUCCUAAACCUUUCUCAUAAUUCAUUAACAGGCCACCUACCACAAUUUCGUUACUAUAACCUACAAUAUCUUGAUCUGAAAUUUAACUUCCUUC
RNAcentral lists this long non-coding RNA (58317 nucleotides) under Solanum tuberosum (potato). Its description in RNAcentral is "long non-coding RNA (STUB_LNC000284)". The record is from RNAcentral. Lineage: Eukaryota; Viridiplantae; Streptophyta; Magnoliopsida; Solanales; Solanaceae.